GCGUUUCUUCGAACUUCUAUACAGCACUACGUGUGUAUAUAUAUAUAUAUAUAUCUAUAUGUAUAGAGCAACCUCAACCAAAUCGAAGCAAACUACCUACCAGCCUAUAAUCGAAGCAACCUCAACCAAAGACUCAAAGAGAAAAAUGUGGUUUACUCUCAGCAAAGAAGCAUUACUAUUCUUAUGCUUCCAUGGCUAGCUCACGGCCACAUAUCUCCCUUCCUAGAGCUUGCAAAGAAGCUUACCUCUAAGAGAAAUUUUCACAUCUUUAUUUGUUCCACACCUGUAAAUCUCACCUCCAUCAAGCCUAAACUCUCUCCAAAAUACUCUCAUUGCAUUGAAUUUGUGGAACUUUAUCUUCCGCAUGAUGAUUUGCCUGAACUCCCACCUCAGUACCACACCACCAAUGGCCUCCCUCCCCAUCUCAUGUCCACUCUCAAAAGGGCCUUCGACAUGUCCAGCAAUAACUUCUCCACCAUCCUCACAGCCCUAAAGCCAGAUUUGCUCAUAUAUGAUUUUCUUCAACCAUGGGCACCCUCUCAAGCUUCGUUGCAAAAUAUUCCAUCCGUCGAGUUCAUCACCACCAAUGCUGCCUUGACCUCAUUUAGUGUUCACCAUCUCAGGAACCCUAGUGACAAGUUUCCUUUUCCUUCGAUCUAUCUUCGGGAUUACGAAGCUAAAAAAUUCAACCGUCUCUUAGAAUCUUCAUCAAAUGGCAUUAAGGACGGAGACCGCGUACAAAAAUGCAGUGAUCUAUCUUCUGAUAUCAUUUUGGUGAAGACGUCUAGAGAGAUUGAAGCAAAAUAUGUUGAUUAUCUCUCUGGUUCAAUGGGGACACCACUACAAAAAAAGCAAAAAGACGACGGUAAAUCACCGUCGUGUAUUCGGUUUUUCAAUGGUCGUGGAAUCCACCGUCAUCUUUUCCCUCAUAAACCACGACGCUAAAUCACCGUCGUUGUUAAAAUAUACAACGUCAUCAACAAAUACAAAACGACGUCUUUGUACUACAAAAAGAUCUAAAAAAGCAGUCGAGGAUGAGAAUAGACGACCAACUCUCUAAAAAAACCGUCGUUAAAAAGGAAAAAUAUGACACAUAUUAAGAGAACAAGGCCGCAAGAUAGACAUACAACGACGAAAAUAAAAAUACGACGCCGUUAAAUAUCAUUUUCACGACAAUAAAAAAUUUGACGUCUUUAAAUACAUUAGAAGACGACGUUAUUGAUACCUACUACGUCGCAUAUAUAAAAACAGCCGUCGUAAAAUUAAUUUUUCACUUCGAUUUUUCGAUAAAAGAUGACGUGGAAAUAGUUGUCAGUGUCAUUAUUUACGACGUAUGUAUUUAUAGAGUAGACGUUGAAAAACGAAACAACGUCGGUUACAAAUAUAUGAGAGUCGUAUUACAAAAUUUAUACGUCAUAUUUUCAGAAACAAACAACGACGAUAAAUAUUAGACGUUGUUAAAUAAAACAACGUCGGAAAACAAUAAAAACAGACGUGUUUAGUCUGCUAAAGUUCUAGAAAAUAGUCGAGGAUGAGAAUAGACGACCAACUCAAACAAAUCACCGUCGUUAAAAAGGAAAAAUAUGACACAUGUUAAAAGAACAAGGCCGUAAGAUAUACAUACAACGACGACAACUAAAAUACUACGCCGUUAAAUAUAAUUUACACGACAAGAAAAAAUAUGACGUCUUUAAAUACAUGAGAAGACGACGUUAUUGAAAUAUACUACGUCUCUUAUUUACAAACAACCGUCGUGAAAUAAAUUUUCCACUUCGAUUUUUCUAAAAAAGAUGACGUGGAAAUAGUUGUCAGUGUCAUUAUUUACGACGUAUGUAUUUAUACAGUUGACGUUGAAAUGCGAAACAACGUCGGUGGCAUUUAUAUAGUCGACGUUGUAUUUAUAUCUAUCAUCAUUACUCACGACGUACUUAAUAAUAUAGACGACGUUGAACUUCUAAACAACGUCGGUUCCAAAUAAAUGAGAGCCGUAUUACAGAACAUAUAGACGGCGUUGAUUAUGAUGAGAGCCGUAUUACAAAUAACGUCGUUUAAUUGUUAUUAGACGACGGUUAUAAUGAAUUUCCGUCGGAAUUCAUUUCGUUCCUCUUCGUUUAUAAAAGAACUUGCGACGUGGAAAAUGUAUGAUGACGUCGUAUUUUUUAACGUUCAGAUUAUAUAUCUCGUUUUUUAGACGUCGGUAUUAUGGGAUUGGAGUCGUGUUAUUUUGAAUUACAUGGCGGUUCUUAAUCCUUCCCCGACGUGAUAUCCUGAAUAAUUACUUCACAAUAGCGUCGUGGUUCUUCAUUGUUACGUUGCUUUAAGACGUCGGUAAAUAUGCUGAAUAACUGGUUCACAAUAACGUCGUGUUUUAUUUGAACGUAGAAAGUGAAGAAAUCACAUUACAAUAUAUUACAAAAUCAAUGUCAUACACUGCCAAUUACAUAAGCAUCAUUCAAUCCAUAUAUCUUCACACCCAUCUCGAAUAUUUUGACCGCCUAACUCACCCACCAGUUCAUCAAAUGUGUCAACAUUUGGCAUCCCUCUAGUAAAUGGCUCACACUCAAUUAUCACAUCACCUAAGACUUCAUCACCAAUAACAUCAUUAUAUUCUCUAUUAGGCAUUGAUAACACUACCGACCAACCACGAUGCAUCGGGUCGUCAACAAAAAAUAUUUGUUUGACUUGAGAAGCCAAAACAAAUUGGUCAUUCCUAUGUCCAAUUUUACUCAAAUCUACAAGGGUAAAUCCAAGUUCGUCGACUACAAGACCAGAACUAUCUAUCCAAUCACACCUAAAGACUGGGAUUGUAAACUUUUGGUAGUCAAGGUCCCAAAUUUCUUGAAUGACACCAUAGAAACCCAUAUUUGAGAGAAUUGGGUUUUUAUCCUUGGCACUAGCAACUUGCAUGGUAUGUGCAAGUAAAUAAACUCCACUAUUUUGAGUUGUCCGCACAUCAUCUUGUGCCUUGAUAUUGAAUUUAAUACCUUUAAUAAGAUAGCUCCUAUAUAAUGGCACUGACAUGUUUGGACCAGCUGCUAGCCACCUUAAAUUUUCUGAUACGCCAUGAUUGUCUUCCUCAAGUUCACUUUGAACCUGCAAAUUAAUCAUAUCUUAAUUCAAUCUAACAUAUAAAUAAGAAGAAAAUUAAAAGAGAAAUAUGUUAUUCAACAACAUAUACCUUGAAGCGUAGCCAUUGAAUGAAAGUGCUAUUGUGCUUAUCCUGCAGCCACUUUGUUCUCUUUCUAAAUUUUGGAUAAGCAAUCUUGAUGUGGAUCAUAUGUUGCCUACAUGACACGAAAAAUUCAAGCAUUACGGUCCCAAAUAUAGAAGAUAAACAUAAGAAAUAAUUUAAAAUGGAAACUUAAAGAAUAAAGCUCAUACGUACUCGAUAUAAGGUAGGACUUCCUCCGUAUUCUCCAAGACAUAUAGAUGUGCUUGAUUCAACAGGUCCUGAUCAACUACGCUCACUGUGCAACCUGAUAAUGGCUUUGAAAGUCCCAUCUUUUGGCUUGAAGGCACUCCAACUGUACUAACAUCAGAUAAAUGCUGAGUACAAAACUCUACCGCUUCUUCAGCUAUAUACCGCUCAGCAAUGCAACCUUCGGGACGAGUACGAUUCUGAACAUACCCCUUCAGCACUUUCAUAUAUCUUUCAAACGGAUACAUCCACCUAAAAUAUACUGGCCCACAUAGACGAACUUCUCUGACAAGAUGUACUACUAGAUGAACCAUGAUAUCAAAGAAUGAAGGGGGAAAGUACUUCUCAAGCAAACACAGAGUAACUACUACAUCUUCUUCCAACUUAUCUAGCUUGGAAACAUCAACAGUCUUUGCACAUAUAGCAUUGAAGAAGAAGCACAAACGAGUUAUUGCAUACCUUGCAGGCUUCUCCAAAACAGAACGAAUUGCCACAGGGAGCAAUUGUUGCAUUAAGGUAUGACAAUCAUGUGAUUUAAGGCCAAGAAGUCUUGAAUCUUGUAAAGAUACAAGAUUUUUAAUAUUUGAAGAAUAACCUUCAGGGACCUUCAUACCAUAGAAAGAAUUGCAAACCUCUCUCUUCUCUGCUCUUGACAAAUUCCAAGGCCCAGGAGGCAAACGAGUACGUCUUUCUCCAUACUCGGGUUGCAAAUCAGUUUUGACCCCCAUGUUCAAUAAAUCUAAUCGAGCAGCAAUCCCAUCUUUAUUUUUUCCAGGGAUCUCCAGCAAUGUACCAAUGAUACUAUCGCAAACAUUCUUCUCAAUGUGCAUAACAUCUAGGGCAUGCCUCACAGGAAGGUAUUUCCAAUACUCGAGAUCAAAGAAUAUUGAUUUCUUCUUCCAACAAACUCUGUCACCAUUUUCAACCAUAUGCAGCACUUCUUCUCCGGUUAAUGGCUCUGGAGGUAUGCCAUAUUCAGGUUUCCCAUUAAAAGCUGCACGUUGCCUCCUAUAUGGAUGAUUGAUUGGUAACCAUUUUCUAUGCCCAAUGUAACAAAUUUUGUGGCCAUUUUUCAACCUGUGACUAGGUGUAUCAUCGCCGCAUAUUGGACAAGCUUUAUAUCCUUUAACAACACAACCAGAUAAGUUUCCAUAGGCGGGGAAAUCAUUAAUUGUCCACAUUAAUGCAGCUCUGAGUGUAAAGUAUUCUCCAUUAUGUGCAUCAUACACUCCUCUAAUCCCAACCCACAAGGAUUUUAAAUCAUCAAUCAAAGGCUCCAAGUAGACGUCUAUAUCAUUUCCGGGUUGUUUAGGACCGGAAAUCAAUAAGGUUAACAUCAUGAACUUUCGUUUCAUGCACAGCCAUGGAGGGAGAUUAUAUGUAACUAAGAUAACCGGCCAACAACUAUAUCUGCUACUUAGAGAACUGUGGGGAUUGAAUCCAUCAGAUGAAAGAGCCAAUCUCAAGUUUCUCGGCUCAUUACCAAACUCAGGCCAUUUAUCAUCAAGAAGUUCCAAGACGGGGAAUCCGCCGGAUGAGACAUCUGACCGUCAAUUGAUUUUCUAGCAGCAUGCCACCAAGUCAAACUCUUAGCUGUCUUAUGUGAUUGAAACAUCCUCUUAAACCUUGGAAUUGGGGGAAAAUACCACACCACCUUCGCUGGCACACCCUCUUUCAAGAUUGAAUCUUUGCCUUCCUUCCACCUUGAGAUACCACAAGUAGGACAAUUAGUUGAAUCCUCAUACUCCUUCCUAUACAAGAUGCAAUCAUUGGGGCAUGCGUGCAUUUUCUCAUAACUCAGCCCCAAUGCACACAAAGUCUUUUUAGCCUCAUACAUGGAGGUUGGUAUUGUAUUUCCUUCUGGAAGCAAAUCGCCUUGAAGUAUCAAUAAUUCUGUAAAACAGACAUCACUCAUCCUAUGUUUUGCCUUCAAAUUAUACAACUUCACUAAUGCCGAUAACUUCGUGUACUUUCUACAACCAGGGUACACUGGUUGAUCUCCAUCCCCAAUCACAUUGGCAAACUCAUACGGAUCCGAACCAAAAUCACCAAAAUCAUUAUCAUCCAUAUCAAUUUCUUCAGACACAAAACUGUACCUACUAUGGCCAUCAUCUUCUUCAACAUUUCUACUAGCAUUAGUAGUUGCUUCCCAAGGUUCUCCGUGAAAUGUCCAAUUCUUAUAGCUUUGGUCAAUUCCAUUAAAGUAUAAGUGAUCCCUUAUAAUUCCAACCCCAAACAACUUCAAAUUAACACAUUUAACACAUGGACAACGGAUAUGUGUUGUAGUUAGAAGAUUUUCUACAGCAAAGUUCAAAAAUGCUUCCACCCCAAAUUCAUAUGCCUUCGAUCUUCUAUCCGAGUGCAUCCAUGAUUAUCCAUCUCCGACACUAUAACCUAUUAUCUAUAAUAAAGUGAAAAUACAGGCAAUGACCAUCACUAUAGCAGAUUAUACAAUGAUCUAAUCGCAAGUAAUACACAACAGAGACGACGGGUUUUAAACAAAAAUAGACGUAUUUGGCAUAUAUAGACGACGGAUUUUCAACAGACGUCGUCUAUUAUAAGUAAUACAAACGACGGUUUAUGAAAAAACCGUCGUGUAUAAGUAAUACAACGACGGUAGUUUAAAAAAACCGUCGUGUAAUCGUCGUCGUAUGCCUUAAAAUUCGUCGUGUCUCAGUUUAUUUUCAAGAACACAAAACCCAUUAAGAACACAACAUAUAUAUGAAACCAAGCAAGAAACCAACAUAUACAUGAAACCAAGCAUGAAAACAAUAAAUCCAUUCCCAAUUCAACAUAACAUAGGGUGAUUAAAAGAUACGACAAAAUUAAAUCCAUUCCCAAUUCAACAUAACAGAUAAUGUAAUCCAUGAACCCAUUAAACAGAAAAUCCAUGAACCCAUACCUAUAAGCACAUUAUUAACUUUGCACCUUCUCCAGAGCGGAAAAUGACAAGAUCAAAUAAAGGUGUCCUUUUGCUGGAAAUCAUUUGGAAGUUGGUGAUCUGUGUCUUUUUGUGUUGAUUUCCAGCAAAAGUACACCUUUAUUUGAUCUUGUCAUGAACCCAUUAAACAGAAAAUCCAUGAACCCAUACCUAUAAGCACAUUAUUAACAGAUCGCAAAGCAUAUACCUAAAACCCUUUAACAAAACAACCUAAUAUCAUUCAAUGAAUUUACAAGGGGAAGAUAGGGUUUGUACUUACAGGUUGGACGAGCUCACAGAUUCGACGAGCCUGGAGAGUGCAACUUUUAAUUAGAGCAGAAGUGAGAGAGCGAAAUGUUAUGUCGCGUGAAAUCUGAAAUUUUAGGUUUCAGGGAUCAAAGUAUAAGACUAAGAGCCAAAUCUAAAAAAAUUUAGGUCGCGCGAAAAUUUUUAGAGCGCGCGCGUUAUAAAACGUCGAAAGAAAAACCAAGGCGAAAGUUCUACAAGUACCGACGUAAAUUUAAUAUUCCACGACGGAAACUUCAUUUUUCGGAUUAAGAACGUAAGGCCGUUCAUUUUUCGGAUUAAUUUUAAAUUUAUUUUGAAUUUUUUAUAUAACGACGACUGAAAAACCACGUCGGUGUUAAGAAAUUAAAGACGUUGUAAAUUAUAUAAACCGACUUACAUAUUANNNNNNNNNNNNNNNNNNNNNNNNNNNNNNNNNNNNNNNNNNNNNNNNNNNNNNNNNNNNNNNNNNNNNNNNNNNNNNNNNNNNNNNNNNNNNNNNNNNNNNNNNNNNNNNNNNNNNNNNNNNNNNNNNNNNNNNNNNNNNNNNNNNNNNNNNNNNNNNNNNNNNNNNNNNNNNNNNNNNNNNNNNNNNNNNNNNNNNNNNNNNNNNNNNNNNNNNNNNNNNNNNNNNNNNNNNNNNNNNNNNNNNNNNNNNNNNUAAACCCUAAACCAUAAAACUAGAAGUGAUUUUAUGACUCAUCAAAACAAUUUUGUUUUGGAUGGUCAUUUUAAAUUUUUGUUAUUCAAAAUGAAUUUUUUCAAGGUUUAUGUGGAAGAAAAUAUAUCAAUGACUUCAUAGGAGAUGACUUUUCAAUUUUCUGAUUUAUUUUAAAUUUAUUUUGAAUAUUUUGAUAUAAAAAUAAUAAAAUAUUCUUACCACAACAACAAACCACGUCGGUGUUAAUAAAUUGUAGACGUUGUAAAUUGUAAUAGACUACUAAGUCGUUAAAAUGACGUCGUUAAAAUGAGAAACCAUGGCGGCUAUUUAACUAUACGACGUAAAAUAUAUAUUCCACGACUUAACCGCUGUCGUUACAUAAACGUCGUCGAUGAUACCCUGAACCCUUAAGAAAUUGAAGAUGUUGUAAACCAUAAACGACUCAAUUGUUCAAAGAACGUCGUCUAACUAUAUUUUUACGUCGUAUUUGUUUAAAACACGAAACAACAAAAUACGACGGUUUUUGACUUUAUUAGGUCGUUGGAAAAGUAUUACACGUCGGUUAAGCAAUUUGUAUGUUUGUUUUUUUUUUAAUUUAAGAAAACCUCAACAAAUUUUUACAUUACAUAUUAUAGAGAAAAUUUGUACAUUAUACAUAAAUAUCAAGUGUUCAAUAAUUGCCCUGUUUAAUAAUUUGGAAAACAAACUCUGCCCAUUCAUUCCGGACUUCAUCAAUGGCUUCUUGGGGGUAUGAAGCUUCCUGGUUUCCCUUGGCAUACUGCAUAAACAAUGACUAUUAGGGUUUAUAAAUAAAAAGAAAUUCAAUCACAGACGACGAUAUUUUUCAUAACCGACGUAGUAUAUCCAUUCAACGACGUUAAUUUUACAUGACCGUCGUUGAUAAUACAAAAAACGACGUGAAAUGUAUGAAGGUAAUUUCUUCUUACCUUAUUCUCAAACCCCAAGGAAGGAUCCAUGAUGAUGUCCCUCAUGAAGCGCAUCACAUAAUACCCGCAUUCGACAUUGCUGGGUUGCUUUGGUGUGCCUGAGAGAGUUUUCCAAAUUACAUUUUUACGUCCUGCUCGGCCUAUGUGGGUAUUAUAUAUUUUUAAAGCACUGUUCACGAUGUUUUUCGCCUCUUCGUCGACCACACGAUGACCUGGCAGAGGAUCCAGAAAAUAGACGGUCUCCUUCUUUGCUCUUACAAUCAGCAAGAUCCAAUGACGGCUGCACAAAAUUAAUAUAAAAACGACGGUUAUUUACAAAAACGACGUAUUAUAGUAUUUCACACGACGAAAUAAAGUAGAUAACGACGACAUUAUAUAUUUAUCACGACGAUAAAUAAAUACCGACGUGGUUAGUAGUUUCAAACGACUAAAUAAAAUAAAACACCGACGUGGUUAGUUUAUAUGCUGUCAUUUAUUGAAAAUCAUAAAAACAAAAUCCUAAGGAGACUAACCCUGGAUUGUAAGGCAUCAUGAAAAUCUGUUCACCGUCUGUCUUCUGAAGUCGAGCUGCUACCAGUCGUGAUCUUUCAGUUAUUGUGCCAGAGUUGGCACUAACUGUAGCAGGGUCGAUAAAGCCAACCAUGCUGCACAUAUUGGCUUGUUUCAAAACAUCGUGUAAGUACCUAAAUACAUAAAAUAAUAUAAACAAGUCAGCACAAACAAACACGACGGUUAUGUAUAAAAAAACGACGUAUUAUAAUAUUUCACACGACGUACUGAAAUAGAUGAGGACGUUAUAAUAUAUUUAUCACGACGGUAGUUAGUUAAGACGACGUGGUUAGUUAGUUAAGACGACGCAAUAUAUAAACCAACGAGGUAUUAUUUUAGAAGUACAAACCUCAUAUAUACAGCCAAUACAGUAGCUCCAAUUUCUUCCAUGCCUGCAAAUUGUGUAAUAUCUUCAGGCAUGAGGAAGGUAUCGCGCUCACCACCAAACACCUCCUUAUCAAUUGUAAAUUGGAGUGUCUUAUCCUCAGGCAGGAGUGUCGUUUCCACAAAACGACAAAGGGUUUUUAAAGAAGAUGGCGCCUCCAUAUUUGAAUAAGCACCAACUUCAAUAACCUGUUUAAAGAAAUAAAAAAAAUGACGUGGUAAUUCAAUAAAGACGACGGUUUAAGGAAUAAAACGUCGUCUUAAAAGUAUUUAAACGACGGUAAAAAAACUGUCGUGGUAAUUCAAUAAAGACGACGGUUUUAUGAAUAAAGCGUCGUUUGAAACCAUUUAAACGACGGUGCAAAAAUCGUCGUUUAAAUAUUUUAUUACGUCUUAAAAAAAGUCCGCCGUCUAAGUUUGAAACAAACGACGGAUUAAAUAAAAAUAUCGACGUCUGAAAUUUUGAAAAACAAAUAAAAAAGGCAAAGUUAUGUGAACAUACCUUGUCGUCAUGCUUUUCUUCAUCUUCUUUCUCCUUUUCUUCUUCCUUCUCUUCAUCUCUUUUUUCUUCUUCCUUCUCUUCAUCUGGCUGAUGUUUCCCCAUUUUGGCAGUAUCAUCCUCCAAAUGUAGGGAUCUCACAUCACCUCCAGAGCAGCUAGCUUUGUCAGACAUUGGAUUUUUGGGGCUUUGGCUAAUUCUUGGUUUAAGCAUGCUUGGAUCAAAAUUGGGAAUUAAUUGGGAAAGCUAACUCAGGAAAUGCUCCCUCUCAGCCUCUACCAAUUGUUUUGUCCUAGCCUCCAUCCUUAAGGCCUCUUCCCUUGCCUUAGCCUCCAUCUUUUUAGUCUCUUCUUGAAGGAGAACUCUUAAACUGUCCUUCAAACGGUCGUCAAAGCUCACCCUCUGUGGUUUGGGCAAAUUGAAAUAUUGCCUUGGGGAAACACCAGCACCAACUCCCCUCACUCUGCCUGGAUGCUCGGGGCCCAAAGCCAUGGUCAGCACAUCAUUGCUGCCAUCUACUCUGACUUUGCCUUCCGAGACUUGUUUCUGCAAUUCAUCCUAAAAAAAGAUAAACAAAAAAACACACGACGGUUAUUUAUGUACAAACGACGUAUUAUAUAAUUUCACACGACGCAAUAACGUAUAAACCGACGUUAUUAUAACUUAUCACGACGGUAGUUAUACCGACGUGGUUAUUUAUUUAAAACGACGAAAUGAAUAAACAACCGACGUCUUAUGCUAUAAUUAAAGAAAACAGAGUAGUGAUUCCUAUUUAGACCGUUAACGACGUUGUUAAAAAAGUUUCGACGUGGUAAUAUCAUUCAAACGACGCCAAAAUGAACCACCGACGUCUUAUGCUAUAAUUACAGAAAACAUAGUAGUGAUUCCUAUUUAGACCUUUAACGACGUUUUUAAAAACUUUUCGACGUGGUAAUAUCAUUCACACGACGAAAAAUAUAACAUACAACGUAAUAAGAAUAAUUCACAGUUUAAUAAAAAUUUAAAACAGAGUGAUAGUAGGCUUACAAUUAAUUUUGCUUUCUCUGCCACCUUUGGAUCAGGGAUGUUACCAUGUUUGUCCUGUCUAGCUCUCUUCCAUAAGGUAGAUCGAUCAAUUUCUACCCCAGGCAUGGUUUCCUCCAAUUGAUCCUCCAAUCCAGCAUAUCCUUUUCGAGACAAUCGAUGAUUGUACUCGAGUUUCUCCCUAAUCUGUGCAUGUUGAGAAUGCACAGACUCAAAAUCUUUGGAUAGCCUUGAAGCUACAAAGGCAUCCCAUUGUGCUUUCUCUAUGAAUUUAUAUGUUUCAGGGGGUUGGCUUAAUUUCUCCCUGUCAUUGGUGUAUGGAAGGAUAUAAUGCCUCGUUAGUGUAGACUUGAAAUCCUUCCAUUUCUUGGAAGCAGAAGCUAAAACAGAGGUCUUGCCCCCUUGGCCUACGACAAAAGCCAUGUCAACUGCUUCCCAAAUCUGCUCCUUUAUAUCCUUGGGGAUUUGGGACCAUUUCUUGUCCACAAGUGGGAUCCUGGAGCGUGCCAACACACCAAUAUACGACUGCAUCUCAAUAUAUGCUUGGCCAACACCUUUCCCCCUUUUAUUGUACUCAACAAUUGGCCUCAGUUUCUGAAGCUUUCUCUUCACAACACGAGGCAUUGUGCUCAUACCUCGACCAGUCUUUGAAUCAUCAGAGAUUGUUGUCUGGCUGGUUGGUUCUGUCUCAGUAGAUGAUGAAGCAAACUUCAUCUUCUUCGAAGACUUCAUCUCCUUCGAAGACUUCAUCUCCUUCGAAGACUUGUCUUGAGGAGCUACCAUUCCAAGCUUCUUGGAGCCAGAAUCCUUAGUUUGUUGUUGAGAAACCAUUUUAACAGACAAAACUGCAAGUGAAAAUAUUUCAGGAAAACAUUAAGAACACAAACGACGGUAUUAAAAAAAUACGACGUAUGAUAUGAUUUUAGACGACGCAAUGAAAUAAUCUCAGACGUAAUAAAUGUUUAAAACCAUUAUUUAUAUAACGUCAUGGUAUAUAUGUUCACACGACGUCAAUAGUAAUACACCGUCGUGGUAAACUAUUAUUUAUAUAACGUCGUGGUAUUUAUGUCCAUACGACGUCAAUAGUAAUACACCCUCGUGGUAUUAACAUUCACACGACGUAAAACAAUAAGAUAUUUUGUCGUCUAUAUUAGAUACCAACCCUAGUUUCUUUUUCUUUAUAUUUUAUCAAAUAAGGGAAAAACAAAAAUCAUUGUUCAGAGAAAUCAAACCUGCAAUUAAACAAGCAUAUAAAAAAAGACUAUUAUUUUAAAAACAACUUUGUCAAUUUUCAGACGACGCUAGAACAACUGACGAACCGUCGUGGUCUACCGUCGUCUUAUUUAGUUGAGGUAGUUGUCUUCAAAGUUGGAAACUUUCCCUCUUUGUCUGUAUAUUUUAUCAAACUUGGAAAGAAGUAAAAUGAUUUUGGCCAGAAAAAAGGUAAAAAGAUUUUUCAAACAAAAAACGUAUGAGCAUGCAAAACAGUAACCAAAAUAGUGAAAAUGAAAGCUUACCUUUUGCGUGCAAUGAAAGCAAGAGGAAGAUGAUCGAUGUUUAAGUUCAGAGACGACGAAGAAGACGAGAGGAAGACGAUGAGAAACUCUGACAAUGCUCUGACAAGGAAAAAAGACGAAAAGGUUUCUCUAGGAGAUUGAAAUUUUUAAUCGGGUUUGGAAACAGUGCAUGUGUAAGUCGAAAAGUUGCUUACAUAUAAAACCAUUUCAAAAAAAAUAAUACGGCGGUUACAUUUAACUACGUCGUUUUUAACUAACACGACGCAAUAUUUUUCGUUCGACGUGGAAUCAUUUCAUUUAACGUCGUUAGGUUUAAUAUAACCGACGUGGAUUUUAAUUUUUAAAUUAUGAAUAGAAUUUUUUUUCCCGUGACCUUUCAGUUUAUUUUUCAAUUACAGUGCGUUAUAAAUAGAGUUUUUUUUCCGGAGGAAAUUUAAAACGAAGGAAAUUAAUAUUCUGCAAUAUGUAAAGUUUCUUUUUUGGAUGACAGAUUUAAAUAAAAUAAGAAUAUAAAAACAACUAAUGUGUAAGUCAAGUAGACGAAAAGUUGCUUACAUAUAAAACCAUUUCAAAAAAAAUAAUACGGCGGUUACAUAUAACUACGACGUAUAAAUUACAAAAUACGACGGUACAUUUAACUUCGGACGUGGUAAAUAAAUACGACAGUAGUUUGUAGGUACCGUCGUAGUAAACUCAAAAAUUAAAGUACAUAAGUAAUAACUCGCGUCAUGGUAGAUUAUUUAACACGUCGUUUUUAUUAAUUUACCGACGUGGAUUUCUGUAAUAUACGUCGAUCAUACCGACGUUGAUUUUACAAUUUAAACGGCGAUUUUUUUGUAAGAACCGCCGUUGGUUUUAAAAAUUUAUUCUAUAAAUUUGUCGCUUUCAUUCAUUUUCGGUUUACAUUUAAGGUUCCAAGUUCUUCCUCUCUCAGUCUCUCAUGUCUCAAAGACAAUAAUUUGGAUGUUUUCUCAAAGAGAAAUUGAGCUUACUCGCAUCAAAUAUAUGUCCACAAGAAGAAGCUUGUCAACUAGCCUUCUCACUUCCUUGAUCAAGCCUGAUAGGACACUUAGUGCUUCUGAAUACUCCUUGCUUUCCAUCAAAAGAGAUGCAAGCCUGGCCUCCACUCGCUGUCGAAGGAAAGUUCGCUUCUCAGGGAAAUCUGAAGAUCAGAUGUGCCUAAUCCUCUGCUUGAUUUUCUUGCCUAAGAAGAUCCGUCGGAUUUGUGAUAGCCUCUUCCUUUAUCCGUAGAGCUUCAGAAGAAGAAGAUGGGUUUCAAGAAUGCGAUAAAGAAUAGAAAUGGCUUCAGAUGGCCUCUAAAGCAUGAGCAAUUGAAUCAGUAGUUUCUGGGAGAUAUGAUGAAGACAUUGUCAAUGCUUUGAACUAUACAAGUCCUGCAGAAAGAUAUGUUAAAGAAACUGAAACAACGGCAGUUUUCUGUUCUACCGUCGUCUUUCCUCGUCGUCUAUAUUAAGUUAAGAUGGCGGUAGAUUUAUAAUUACCGACGUAGAUUAUUUUGUUAAACGUCGUUAAGUGUACUACAACCGACGUGGAUUUUAUUUUUAAAUUAUAAAUAGAGUUUUUUUUCCCGUAUUCUUUCAGUUUUAGUUUUCAAUUCCAAAGCGUGAUAAAUAGAUUUUUCUUUCCCGAGGAAAUUUAAAAUGAGGGAAAUUAAUGUUCUAGAAUUUGUAAACUAACACGACGCAAUAUUUGCAAAUCUGUGUCAUCUAUUAAGAUUAUGAUGUGGAACAGAGUUCCAUCUGGUAAGAUUUCGUAACCCUUGGGAUCUCAGACAAAUCUGAUUAUGUCGGCGGUAUUGUAUAUAAACCGUCGUGGUUAUUUCAAUGCUUGUCAUUAAGUAGAUCUACCGACGUAGGAUACGAAAAUCAAAGAAAAAAAUUGUUAACAAAAAUUCUUAUUAAGACGACCGUUAAAAUUAAAGGUACGACGUAUAAAAUGAAUAAAUACGACGAUAAAUUUUAUUGUACGAUUUAAAGAUAACGUCGUAGAACUAUACGAGAAUGACGUCGAUAUAUUUAUAUUUUCCGUCGUUGUAAAUUAAUUUAAUACGGCGAUAUUUUGUAUUUUAAAGCCGUGGAUUUGUUUGUAAUUAUACGGCGUCUUAUACGAAAACCUCGUCGUGUUAUUUUAUGAGUAAAAACGGCAGUUUUUAUUGAAAUCGUCGUCUUUACUUUCUACGUCGGUCGAUUCAUAACUUCUGCCGUUCUUUGUUGGCAUUGAUUUUACACUGCGGAAAUCUGUUUCAAAUAGACGUCGGUUGUUUAAUUAUGUACGUCGUUGUUUUUGAAUAGCCAUUUGAAACUCCAUUUUUUAGUUGUCUAAGGUUGUAUUACACGACGGUGUUUUUAGAACCGUCGUCUUUUUAUAAAUCACGACGGUUUUCACUUAGACCGUCGUUGUUUUCUGGUCGUCUUUUUCACUUUUUGUAGUAGUGGGAAGAUGAUCGUGCCAGUUGGUCCACUUGUUCAAGAGCCAAUGGAUUUAAAAGUCGAUGAGGAAACAUGGAUCAUGAAAUGGCUGAACAAAAGGGAGAGGGCAUCGGUUGUGUAUGUUUGCUUUGGCAGUGAGUACUUUCUAACCAAGGAGGAAAUCGAAGAGAUAGCUCAUGGGUUAGAGCUUAGCAAAGUGAGCUUUAUUUGGGUUAUAAGAUUUCCAAACGAAGAGAAAGGUAGACGGGUUGAAGAAGUAUUACCAGAAGGGUUUUUAGAGAGGGUGGGGGAGAAGGGAAUUAUAGUGGAGGGUUGGGCAAAAAUAUUGAAGCAUUCUAGUGUUGGUGGGUUUGUGAGUCACUGUGGAUGGAGCUCAGUUUUGGAGAGCGUCAAGUUUGGUGUUCCAAUUAUAGCCAUGCCUAUGCAUCUUGACCAGCCGAUUAACUCUAGAUUAGUAGAGGAGGAGGGUGUUGGUGUGGAGGUUAAGAGAACCACAGAAGGCAGCCUGCAAAGAGAAGAGGUAGCAAAGGUGAUCAGAGACGUGGUUGUGGAGAAAAUUGGAGAGGGAGUGAGGAAAAAGGCAUUGGAAAUAAGAGACAACAUGAAAAAGAAAGAGGAUGCAGAGAUUGAUGGGGUGGUGGAGGAAUUGAUGCAACUCUGUACGAAAACUGGAUCGAAUGUCAACUUUUAACUGGACACACUUGAAUAAUAAUCAUGUGUAGCAUGAUUAUUGCUCACGUCAGUGUAUAAAAAUCAAUGUUGGUUUUGACUUCUUUGUAGUUUCAAGUGGUGUUGGUUUUCUUUGUAGUUUGAAAAGAGGUUGACCUGAGUACUCAUUUUCUAAUGAUUUUGAAUCCUCACAUCGGCUUAUGUGUGAAUGUUUGAAUGCUCACGUCAGCAUAUGUAUGUAUAUAUACAUGUAUUCAUCUGUGAAUAAAAUUUUUGAAUAUGAAAAUUCUCAUAAUUAUCCUAGAAACUGAGACUCCAUCCAUUCUCAACUGAGACUUCUAUAAGAAAUUGUCGUCUGCAGAAAGAGUAAAAUGGACUUCAGAUUCUCAUCAACUCUUCAAGGGAAGUGAUCAAAGGAAGAAUAAAUAAGGAAGUUAGACACCUAUAAUUUAUGAGUAGGUUUUGCUCCAAUGGAGAACAAAGGCCAAGUUCCUUUUUUUUUUUUUUUUUCCUUUUUCUGGGGUCAGAGUCCAAGUUCUUUCUAGAGAGUGAAAGGGGCAGAUGUGAGAGUGAGGGUUGGUGGGGUCAGGGAUAAUUUAUUUUCUGUAUUUGAAUUGGGGCAGCAUAUUUGAGCAGUGUUUAAAUAUAUAUAUAUAUAUAUAUAUUUUUAUUUUUUUAUUUUUCUUCUUAAAUUCAGGCCUUGGGCAGUGUUUACCGUUAGUUGGUGACCAGGUCAACGGGACUGCAAGGGAACAUGCUUAAAUUGUAAUAAUUUCUUUUUUUAGGUAUUUGUUUAUGAAACUCUAAUAUGUAGAUAAGCAAAUUACUUCAAAGCAAAAGAGGAGAAUAUAAAAGAACACACAAAGACUUUAUUUUUAUUUUUAUUUUUGUUAGAGAAAACACACAAAGACAUUAUUGAAAGGAUAUAUUCAUGACAUUUUAGACAAUGCAACAUAAAUGACAGAAGUCAUUAAAAUUUUAUAGUGUAAGAAACACGUGUACUUCUUAGCAAACGAGUAUUAAAUUUGCACAUAAAUAUGAACAUUGUGCCACUCAAAAUUCUCAAUAUCAUACGGUUAUGAAAAUGUCAUCAAUUAAUCAUAUCUAAAGGUUUAUUUCAAUCAAAUUAUUUGUCAUCAAGCAUGUUGUUGACAGAAGAAUAAAAAUAUAGCAUUUCGCUUCAUUUCCUUAAAUAGGUGAGCUUACUAUGAAUUGAGAGUCUGGGUGUAACACAAGUUUGUAUGCGCAGCAGCGCAAGAUAUUAAGGAAACGAAUAAAAUACAUGUAUAUAUACUGCCCAAAACACUGCAACCAUUAAGCUACUUUAUAUGAUACAAACCUUAAAAAAUGAUGUCACACUCCGGGAUCGACUCCGCCAUAGCACGAUAUUAUCCGUUUUGGGCCCCCCUUCUGGCCCUCACGGUUUUGUUUCUGGGAACUUACGAGCAACUUCCCAGUGGGUCACCCAUCCUGGGAUUGCUCUAGCCCUCAACUCGCUUAACUUCGGAGUUCCCAUGACUCCGAAGCCAGUGAGCUCCCAAAAGGCCUCGUUCUAGAUGGAUGCGGACGUGCACAUAUAAGGCACAUCACCUCAUCUCCGUUGGUUGAUGUGGGAUCUUACAAUCCACCCCCCUUAAGGGCCCGACGUCCUCGUCGGCACACUCGCACCACACGACAGAGUGGCUCUGAUACCAAAUUGUCACACCCCGGGAUCGGCUCCGCCGUAGCACGAUAUUGUCCGCUUUGGGCCCCCCUCUCUGGCCCUCAGGGUUUUGUUUCUGCGAACUCACGAGCAACUUCCCAGUGGGUCACCCAUUCUGGGAUUGCUCAAGCCCUCAACUCGCUUAACUUCGAAGUUCCCAUGACUCCGAAGCCAGUGAGCUCCCAAAAAGUCUCGUGCUAGAUGGAUGCGGGCGUACACAUAUAAGGCACAUCACCCCCUCUCCGUUGGUUGAUGUGAGAUCUUACAAAUGCAGGCAAUUAAGGGACAACUCACGCCAAGAGACAAAGAGAAAAAUGGAAUAUGGUGUAUGCAUAGAGUGGGCGACAAUUGGCAUUGGUAAGGAGUACGGGAAGUCUAGAAUAAUUAGGUUAAUUUUUUUUUUUUCGACUAUAACAUCAAAAGACCCUAGAUUUGGGGUCAUUCUCAAUAUAGGCCUUGGAGUAUUAAUUUUAUCAAUUUACACCUCCAAUGUUUUCAAAUUUGUCCAAUUUUAUCCUUCCAUUAACUUGAUCGUGUUGUCAAUCGUUAACUGCUAUUGUGAUCACCAUGGGACCCAACAAUUUAAGUUUUUUUGACUUAAAAAAUAAUUUAAAAUUUUAUAAAUUAAUUAUACAACCUAAGAAAAAAAUGUAAAAUUGAAUAAAAUAAAAUAAAAGCAAACCCUACCAUGCUUCCACUUUCCCUAGUCGCACCAACCCCUACUGACCUCUAUACCCACCGCCACCCAUUCCAACCCGAGCCCCAGCCACAACUGCCCCCAACUCCAACAACAUCCACAAUCUUCUCAUUAGUAGCAGCAACGGCAUCACCAUCCCUCCCUCCCUCCCUCCUAGCCCAACUCAUUGCUCCUUUCUCCUAUCCCUUUCCCUCUCCCUCAAUUGUAAUCACCCAACAAGCCUAACAACGCGAGUUGAAGAAGGAGAAGUUGUUCAACAGUAAUGAUCCUAGGCAUCAAAGUUGAAGUGUUUAAGAGUUUGAUUGCUAGAGGGAUCAAUGUUGAAAAGUUGAAGACUUUUAUGAACGAUAAAUGUCCGAUCGUGCGAUCAUGAGUAAUCCGACCGUUCGAUUUGGACCAAACUGGCAUGACAUGUUUAUUAAACCUUAUUGAACCCAUAGGAACUUUUCAGAUCGAAAAAUCAUAGGUCGUGGGCCCCGCAGGCCAGGUUGACCAAGAUUGGGUAGUUUGACUCCUUAGUUGACCGUGAGUCUUCUGAGGUAGUUUCACUCUUCAAGAAGUAUUAGAAUGAUCUUGUAAACGAGCCUCGACUAUUGUUUGAAUUAUUUUUGGGUCUUUAUGGAAUUUAUUCUUUCGUGAGUGGACUUUGUUCUGAUAGUGCAUUGUUUUUACCGAUUGAAUUAAUAUGCAUUAAAUAUGGAUUGUUCUGAUUAUGGGAUUUAUAUGCAUAUUUAUAUAUAUGUGUGUGUGUUGCUUAAAAAGGGAAAUUUUGACUAUUUCGAUUUUGAGGGUCUUGGUUGUUUUGAAUAUGGAUUUAUGUUUGAGAAGUUUCAAAGCAUUUUAUGAUGAAGUAUUUGGAGAAAAUAUAUUAAUAUGAAUUUGGGGUACGUUAUUGACUGGUUAUGUGAAUUGUUUGAUUAUGGAUGGAUCUUGAGUUUAUUAUAAUAUUUUAUGGUAUUCCCGGAUGUUAUUUCUGAUAUUCGAAGAUCAUGCAUUAUUGGAAGUGAUGGGAUCUCUAGGAGUUAUUGACUUAUUUAUUUAUUUACCUAUUAUUAUUAAUAUUAUGAUUAUUAUAAAAGUAUUUGACUGAGUGUUAUUGGAUGAUUUAAUGUUUAUGAGUUAUUAUGUAAUCGGAUUUCGACGUGAAUAAUAAAUUAGUUAAAUAUCUAAGUACAUGUCUAUAUUUAAUAUUUAUACAUAUAUACUCAGUGGUUUGAAAACGAUAAAUUAUGGACACUAGUUCUCAACAGUAUGGGGUAUAAAUUCAAAGGUAGUUGAGAACUCAUUUUUGGAAAGUUGAGAAAAGAUUUGAAAUAUGAAUUUGUGGAGUAUGUGAAAUUUUAUGAUAAGUUUCGGUAUAUGAUUUUGAAACCCACCCUAGGGUAGCCCCUCAGUUGCCUUGAAACAGUUUUGUCAUUUAUGAUAAUGCCCCACAAGUUUCGAGGAUGCUUGACCCGUGUGGUGCGAGGAUAUGCGUUCUUGGGCUGACUACAUGUCCCUCGAGUUCUGCGAGGAUUGCUACUUUGGGUUGAUUUUGUGUCUCCGAGACUUGCGAGGAAUGCUACUCGGGUUGACUUUGGGUUUCCAAGGCCUGCGAGGAUAUGUCACAUUAUGUGACACAAGGAAUUGACGGUACAUUAUUGGAAUUGACGGAAAAUUCAUGGAAUUGAUGGAAUACUAUUAUAAUUGACAGAAAAUUAUCAGAAUUGACAGAAUAUUAAAGGAAUUGACGGAAUAUGAAUGGGGGUACUCCUAGGUGGAGAAUAUUCAGGUUUUAAGAUGUUUAAACAAAAAUUGAGGAUUUUAUAUUGGUAUUUUUGGGUAAAAGUUUUAAUACAUAUUUUUCUGAUUUUAUGAGACAAGGAAUGAAAGUUUUACAAGUUUUAAGGAUUUUAUACAAUGCACAACUAUAUAUAUAUAUGUAAUUAUAUACUAGUCUCUUCGCACGAGCUUCCGCGCCUGCGAGAGGUUUUUAAAAAAAAAUUAAAAUUUAUUUUAGAAUUAAAAAAGACAAUGGGUAGUUGUGUUCCAUAAAAAUAGGAUCCAUUAUCUGAUUUUUCUUUUAAUUUUAAUUUUUUUAAAAUAUGAAAAAGUGUGAAUUUACCAUAUUAUCCUCAUUUAAUUAAUAAUCACAAUUCUUAAUGUUUGCAUUGACCAAUAGCAUUUUCUAGUAUUUGAAUGUUUCACAAUUCUCUGCAUUUUACUUUAUAUAUAUAGAUGCACAUAUAUAAUGAGUGGAAGAUUGUUCUGAAAUCAAUGGUCCUUGCUUGAAUUUCAGCAGAUUGAUUUGAAUUACCCUUGUGUGGUCACGUGUUAUAUGUGGUCAACAUAAAUAUAGACCACAUGUAAUCUAUGACUUAUAAGUCCGUUUUCUAGUAGUGUGCGUUUUGGCAAGUAAGUUUGAGGCUUUUUGAACAGAAAGAGAACUACACAAUAUUCAUAUCAUGAUGGAAAUUACUCAGCAUAACUUUAUACAAAAAUUAUCUACCUUGGCAUCACCAUUUCACUUUUCAGAAUAGCUUUAAGCAAUAAUGAUACACUCCCUAAAAUAAUAAAGCGCCGAACAUCAAAAAUUAGGUAAUGCUAGGAACUUUCUCUCUAACUUUUUUUUUUUGGAACUUCUCCAUUUCCCUCAUGACAUGUGUCAUUUUCUUUACACUUAAUACAAUGACAUUAAUACAUCAAACAACCUGAUUUUGUUUUCCAUAUUUACCCUUAUUUGAAGUAUUGACUUUACUUUAAUUUUUUUUUAUUUUUUUUACAGCUUUCUUAAUACUUUGUAAAAAAUUAUUAGAUUAAUUUAUUAAAUAUUAAAAAAAUAAAAAUAAAAAACCUAUCUCAAGUCAUCCCCACCUUCUUCCCCAAAGCCCAGCACCUCCAUCUUCCCCACCAUCUCGUUAGUGCCACCCAUCUCCACCCCACUCUCUCCCCACCACAUUGCCAUAUUCUCUUCCUUCUAUCUCCCUCUUUUCUCUCUUCCCCCAAUCUCUCUUUGAGAAGACCUGUAGGAUAUCUAUAAAUGCCUGGAGAAGGUUAAACAGGCUAAUUCGAAUUUUUGCAAUAAAUAAUGAUCAACCUUUGAAGCAGGAUUGAUAUGAGUUAUCAAUCCUGAGAUGUGCAAAGCUUAAAAUAAAAGAACACGCAGAUAUUUAUUUUACGUGGUAAAACCCCACCUCUGGGGAAAAUCUACGGGACUCCUUAGUCCAGAACGAAUCCACUAUAGAAUUGAGAUUACAAGAAAUACGCACACACACUUGUCCUAGACUCAAUCUAGACAAUGUUUAUCGAUUUCUUCGUAACUCAGCUUCUGUCACGGGAUGAUCUUUGACACUCCUUUUGUUGAAUGCAAUACUGGUCACGAUUGCUUCAAGCUCACCGGAGGAUAAACACACAAAGUGUCUUGGUGUCCUUAACCAUAUGAGACACCGACAUGCAUAUGUAUGCAAUAUGAAUGAUGAAUGAAUUCGAUCAAUCACCAAGCAACCGAAGCACUUGAUGACUUUCCGAAUAAACUAAGUGUAGCAGCUUUUCCCAAAAUAUAUUCAAUAUGCAUAAAUGGUUUUGGACGUUGAAAAAGCUCACACUUACAAGAAGGCAAAGCCUCCUUUUAUUCACAGCAAGUUUCUCACAGGAGAGAAACUUGCGAGACUGCACUUCCAAAACAAUUAUAACUCUAAGACCAAUUGAACUAAAACUCUUUUAACCUGGUGCAAUAUGAUCUCCUCAAUGAGACACCACACAAGGGCCAAACACUUAUCAAAUUAACAAUAUAAAUUCUGAUUCAAUAAAAAUACAAAGUCUAAUUCAUUAAGGACUCUUAAUGAUGUCACCAACCGACUCAAAUUUUAACUUCAAUUACAAAGACCCAAAACAAAACUUCAACUAUAACUCCUAUCAUGAAUGCAUGAUAUGUCAUGAUUUACCUGUUGUCAAGUUUCUCAUAUGGCCAGGGUAUGCCUCGGAGGUAUGGGAUUGAAAGAGUAGUGCCAAAACUUCUAGUAGCAAUUCCUCACAAACUAAUUUUCAUCCUAUACUACAGUCUAGGAAAUGUCAAUACGAUUUUCGUACUAACAAUCUCCCCCUUUGGCAUUUCCUGGACAAAACAUUGGAUUACAUAUCAAACACGUUUACAAGGAAACAAAACUACAUAACCAACUUUGCUUUGUCAAACAGAGAUUCAAUUCUUGCAUUGUCUGCACACAAACAAGCAGACUACCAGUGAAGCAUAAUAGAAUGAUAUAAUAAUAACCAGAACUUAGCACAGAUAAACAGCAAAUUUUCAUAUGUCAAGAGGUUAAGCAAAGUACUACAAAUUCUACUUCCAGGGACAGAAAACAACUACUCCCCCUUAAUCUCAUAUGUACCACAAAAUGUCUACUCCCCCUAAACCUCAUAUGUACCACAAAAUAUUCUCCCCCUUUUUGUGUAGGAAAUCCAAAGGAACACAGAGAUAACGUUAAAAUAGAACAAUCCAGAAACAGAACAGAGGAACCUUAGAGACUGCGAGCCCGAGGAGGACGAGGAGGAUCAGGAGGCUGAAUGUGCCCUGCAAGUGACAGCAACAGCUCACUAUGGGUGUCAGAGAGCGAAUCCAAAAGAGCCUGUUGCUCAAUGGAGAAACCACCAGAAGAACAGUGAGCAUCGCUGCGGUGUAAAGUGACCCGGUUGUUGACUUUGAUGGCAUCGGAUGAGCCAAAGUCAUCUGUCGGCAGUGCAGGGACACCAGCAUGAGCAGCCAAGGCGGUGAUAAUUCGAGGAAGAACAAGACUGGAAGUUGGAAUGGUGGCAUUUGUAGCACCAGCGCCAAUGAGGCUUUCACGAACAUAGAACUCAACACUUACAGAUUGCUCAAUCACAAGCUGGAAAAGAAUAUGAGCAGCCUUCCAACUCACUUUCCCAUGUUGGGAAGUGGGAUUCAGAUAAUUUCGCACAAGCAUAUACAGAGUACGGGUCCACUGAGACAUCAUACCCAAAGAGAGCUCGGUGGGGAGCACCUCGGGUGGAGACACAUAGAGGUGAUUCACCAGCUGACGGCGCGGAAGAAAUCCUGGAACUGGUUCACAAGAACUGCCAGAGCGAAAAGGAGUCAAACCAAGGGCAGCCGAAAUAAAGUAGAAACUGAGCGGAAUGGCGAUUCCACGCACACGCACAACCAAACCAGACAGAGCAACAGAGGCAGCGGAGACAUCGGGGAAAUUGGCAUAAAAUUCCCGAACAAUCUGGAAAUUUGGCAGAGGCAACCCUCGAACCAAUGGCAGGAGACGAUGCCGAGUAGAGCACACCGGAGACACAAAGCGAGAGACCGGUGGAUGAGGAGACUCUCGAGACAUGGGGCUGGAGCACGAGCGCCGGGAGGAGGACGGCUGAGAUGAGGUGUCAGCCGGAGAGACAACCUAAGAAGGAGAAGCAUCAGUCCGGCGGCGCACGGAGCGAGAAGGAGGGUGAGUAGUGGCAGAGGAGGAAGAAGACUGACGGCUCCGUGUAGUGACCAUGGGGACGCGACGGAGCAAAGCACAGAGUAGCAAAUGCUAAAAACUCUGGAAGACGGCAAUGGGGCGGAAGAGAGACCAAAUGUGACCGAGGAAGUUGACCUAACUGCACAGUUUUUUUUUUGUUUUUUGUUUUUUUUUUGUUGAAAAGUAUAAAUAAAAUAAAGAAUAAAUAAAUAAAAAAAGAAAACGGAAAAGAGUAAGGAGGAGUCGGUAAGAACCAGAACAUAACAAGAACAAAAGCAACAUACUUAGGACAGAAGACUUAAAACACCCAAGACAUAAAAACACACUUGUUAUGCAGACCCAAAGCUCUCUAGAAGAUGUAAUUAUUUUCCAGUCAUAAACAUGCCAAGUAUGUGAGCAAGAAGAGACAGUAGUAGCAGACCCAUCGCUGUCUGAAACACAUAAGAAGCAAAGCAUGCAGAGGCAAAAGGAAGUGACCACAUUUAACACACAAACUCACUGAUAAUCAAUGAGGCAUACCACAAGCAUGGUGAAAAAUGAACACCAUCAAAUGAGUCCACCAUCAAGAAGCAAAGAUGUGAAGUGAACUCCGUUCAACGAAGCCCAAAAAAUAUGUCCACCAAAGACUGAUCCCACCAAAGAUGACACAAACACUGAGUGCACUGUAAGUAUAAGCAGAUCAGUUUUUUUUUUUUUUUUAAUUUUGGUGGCUUACUUUAUUUAGCUUUCGACAUGAUCCAUGUAACAGAUGGUCAAUCAGUGUGCUCACGUCAUAUGACCGGAAGCAACUGGGUGAUAAAGCACCCCUGGGGAAAUACUGAUCCGAAUCAUGAAGGCUCCAAAGAUAAUCAAGGAUAGCAGAUCAUCACAACCUGUUGACUCGAACUCGACGCUGGUUAGACAAGAAGCCCGGUUACUGAGCAAUGAGAAGUCACCACCUUUUUAUUUUUAUUUUAUGAGUAAACAGAUCAAGAACUUACGCACAGCAGUGUUCAGGUAAUCCAAAGAGAGACGAGUGCCUGAGAAGAGACAUUCAAGGGACUUCAAGGAAAGGAGUGUGGUGUGCAAAUAAAAAUAAAUAGAUGGAUGGAUCAUUUAAUGAAGUUUAUGAAGCACCAAGACAGUGGAAACCUUUGUGAGAAGCUGUGAGCUAUGUUCUCAAUGGAGUGCAGUACCAGAGCCCAAUCCAAGAUCAACAAAUAUGUUCAGACAACUAAAGGAUUGAUACGACUUAACAAUCCUUGCACGAGCUGGACAGAUUUAUGAAAGCAGAAAGUAAUUUAAAUAUCAUGCAGCAUAUAAUAGGCUUUGGUAUUCAGUAGACAUCGAAUUAAUCUUGUUAGUAUAAAAAUUGUAUUGUCAUUUCCUAGACUCUAGCAUAGGUUGGGAAUUAGUGUGUGAACAUGUUUUACUGGAAGCUUUGGCGCAACACAUUCAUUCUGGAUCUUUGAGGCAUGACUUGACCGAUAUGAGAAACUGAUUUCAGGUAACUCAUGACAUCAUCAUACAUUCAUUAUAGGAUUCCUAAUUGGAGUUAUUUUCACUCAAAGUAUUUUUAUCUUAAUCUUAUUUUUAAUAGGAUUAGAUUUUAUCUCUUAAUAUCACUUUCCUAGUUGAACUCUAUUUUGAUUUAGAUUAAGAAUAUUAUGUUUUCAUUAUCUUGGACUUGGAAAGUAUGUUUUAAUUAAUAUCCUAUUUGGUUCUGUGUUUACAUCUUGAUAUAUAUUGUUUCAUUGAAUAAACAAUUGAUUGGAGUGCAAUUGAGAAUAUGACGAAAUCAUGUAGGAUUCUAUGACCAUCAAAUUAAACGCAUGGCAAGAUAUUGAGUUAUGGUUGUGGGUCCUCUCGUGGAUUGUGGAGAAUAAGUUUUGUAUAAAUCAUUGUGUGCAUCUCUUAGGGUUUUGACAGCUUUUGAUAUUUGUGUUAAGCGUAUAGAAUUCUUAAGCAAAAGUUGAUGUGCAUAUAUUUGAGAUAAAUCAUCAAGUGUUCCAUGUUUACUUGGUGAUUUAUCAAACACUUUAAUAAUUCAUAUUGCAUUCAUAUGCAUGUCGGUGACUCAUACGGUUGAGGGCAACAAGACCGUGGUGGCGGUUUUCCUCCGGUGAGCUUGAAGCAAUCGUGGCCAGUAUUGCGUUCAACAUAAGGAGUGUCGAAGAUCAUCCCGUGACAGAAGUUGAGUUACGAAGAAGUCGGUAAACAUUAUCUAGAAUGAGUCUAGGAUAAGUGUGUGAGUACUUCUUGUAAUCAUCGUUCUAUAGUGGAUUUGAGUUGGACUGAGGAGUCCUGUGGAUUUUCCCCAGAGGUGGGGUUUUACCACGUAAAAUAAUUCUCUACGUGUUCUUUUAUUUUUAAGCUUUGCACAUCUCAGGAUUGAUAACUAAUAUCAAUCCUGCUUCAAAGGUUGAUCAUUAUUUAUUGCAAAAAAUUUGAAUUAGCUUGUUUAACAUUCUCUAGGCAUAUAUAGAUAUCCUACAGGUAUUAUCAAAUCUAGAGCACAGAUACCUAAUGACUGUCGAAGGGUUUCAAACCGUAGAUUGUCUAGAGGUUUGGUGAAAAUAUCAGCUAAUUGUUUUUCAGUAGAGACAAAUUCAAGCGAGAGCACAUUCUCUUCCACCAAUUCACGAAUAAAAUGAUGACUAAUAUCAAUGUGUUUUAUGCAAGAGUGUUGAACUGGAUUUUUAGAGAUAUUAAUUGCACUCAUGUUAUCACAAAACGUUACCAUUUUACCUUGAUGAAUGCCAUAGUCAUUUAGCAUUUGUUUCAUCCAUAACAACUGUGUGCAGCAGCUCCCAGUAGCUAUGUACUCGGCCUCAGCCGUGGAGAGAGAGACGCAAUUUUGCUUCUUGCUAAACCAGGAGACAAGGUUAUUGCCUAUGUAAAAGCAUCCACCAGUUGUGCUUUUCCUAUCAUCAAUGCUCCCUGCCCAAUCCGCAUCAGAAUAGCCUGCAAGUUCAACAUUUGAGUCAAAUGAGUAGUAUACACCAAAGGUUGUAGUGCCACUUACAUAGCGAAGAAUUCUUUUCACAGCAAGUAGAUGUGAUUCUUUGGGAUCGGAUUGGAAGCGAGCACAAAGUCCAAUACUGAAAGAGAUGUCUGGUCUAUUGGCAGUCAGAUAUAACAAACUACCAAUCAUGCUUCUGUAUAGGUUUUGAUCGACACUUUUGUCAGAUGAAUCCUUGGAAAGUUUGGUGCUUGUGCUCAUAGGAUUCCGAAUGGGUUUGGCAGAUUCCAGACCAAAUUUGGAGACUAGGUUUUUGGCAUACUUUGUUUGAGAUAUGAACAUGCCUCCAUUGAAUUGUUGGACCUGCAAGCCAAGGAAAAAAUUUAGUUCACCAAACAUGCUCAUCUCAAAUUCGGUUUGCAUUACCUCAUGAAAUUCUUUGACAAGUAUGUCAGAAGUAGAUCCAAAAACAAUAUCAUCCACAUAUACUUGAGCAACCAUUAAAUCCUGUUUGGUUCUUUUGACAAAGAGGGUUUUAUCAAUGCUACCACGUGUGUACUCUUUUUGAAGAAGGUGUGUGGACAGUCUAUCAUACCAUGCUCUCGGGGCUUGUUUGAGUCCAUAGAGAGUCUUUUUCAGACGAUAUACAUGAUUGGGAUGGAUAGGAUCUUGAAAACCUGCAGGUUGUUCCACAUGGAAUUCCUCUUGUAAAACUCCAUUUAGAAACGCACUCUUGACAUCCAUUUGAUAAAGCUUGAAACGAAGAUAGCAUGCAAUGGAUAGCAACAAUCGAACAGAUUCUAAACGCGCAACCGGAGAAAAGGUCUCAUCAAAAUCCAAACCUUCAAUUUGAGUAUAACCUUGGGCAACAAGUCUAGCUUUGUUGCGCAUGAUUUGCCCUUUCUCAUCUGUCUUAUUUCGAAAGAUCCACUUGGUACCAAUUACAUUUGUGUCUUUGGGACGUGGAACAAGAUACCACACAUCAUUUCUUUUGAAUUGAUUUAAUUCCUCUUGCAUAGCCAGAAUCCAGUCAUUAUCUGCAAGAGCAUCUGCAACACUCUUAGGUUCAAUAAAGGAUACAUGGCAGAAAUUGGUUACCUCAUUACAAACUUGUUGUCGAGUCCUCAUUUUAUCAUUAACAUUUCCAAUAAUAUCAGAGGGUGAGUGAUCUUUCUGAACUUGUUUAGCACCAGGUCUGCGUAUCACAGGAUUGAAAUGCUGGUUACAAUCCUCAAAAUCAAUUCCAGUACCAUCUACAGGUUCGUGAGUUUCUAGAUCUGUAUCUUCACUGCUUGGUUCAACCUGCAAUAUAAAAGUGUCAUUUACAACCACAUUAGCUGAUUCCAUUAUUAUUUUAGUGCGUCUAUUAAACACCCUAUAUGCUCGACUAUUCAUAGAAUAUCCAAGAAAUAUUCCAACAUCACUUCUUGCAUCAAAUUUUCCAAGAUACUCCCUGUCUUUGUAAAUGUAGCAUUUACUACCAAAAGUCCUUAAGUGCUUGACAUUUGGUUUCUUCCCUUUCUAGAUUUCAUAUGGAGUGCUCUUGGUAUGUGGCCUGAAAAACACACGGUUAGAUGUAUAGCAUGCAAUACUAAUGGCUUCAGCCCAAAAAUGAUCUGUCAAAUUGGCACUUUUCAACAAGACACGAGCCAUAUCAAGAAGGACUCUAUUUUUCCUUUCAACUACCCCAUUUUGUUGGGGAGUGAUUGGAGCAGAGAAUUCAUGUUUUAUUCCUUUUUCAGAACAAAAUUUAGAAAAAGCUUGAUUUUCAAAUUCCGUUCCAUGGUCUGUCCUAAGUCUCAUGAUACAAGAGUUACUUUCAUAUUUUUCAUUCAUGAUUAGCUUGUACAAAACAUAGAAGGAAUUAAAAGCUUCUGUCUUAACAUGCAAAAAACUGACCCAAGUAAAACGUGAGAAAUCAUCUACUAAGACAAGGAUAUAUUUCUUUCCUCCUAAGCUAGCAACCUGUAUUGGACCAACUAAAUCCAUAUGCAUCAGUUCCAAAGUUUUAGAAGUAGAGAUUGAGUUUGUAGCUUUGUGAGGGUUUUUGGUUUGCUUCCCCAGUUGGCACCCUUCACAGACACCCUCACGUUUACCUGAAAGAUUGGGCAAUCCUCUUACAGAUUCACAGUUGGACAAUUUAACUAAAUCUUGAUAAUUCAUGUGUCCCAAACGUUGAUGCCAUAAAUCAAGAUGAUCUUUACUUGUCCUAAAACACACUUGAGAAACUUCAUUAGUGGAAAAACAAUAACAAUUGUCAGGUGAUCUAUUUCCAGUCAUCACAUUUGAUCCAUCUUGAUUAUUGACAAUACAUCGGGUUUUAGUAAAACUUACCUUACCCAUUUCAUCACAAAGUUGACUUACGCUGAUGAGAUUUGCUUGAAGAUUUUCAACUAAUAAAACAUUGUCCAAGUUAGGUGUACCAAUUGCCAUAAUCCUUCCUUUGCCCAAAAUCUUGGAUUUUCUUCCAUCUCCAAAAGUGACCAUUCCACUCACACCUUCUGUAGAGAUUUCUGAAAAAUAUGAUUUCUCACCGGUCAUGUGUCUUGAACAUCCACUAUCAAAAUACCAAGAUUUAGAUUUAGAGUCAGACAGAGCAGUAAAAGCAACAAAACAUUUCACAUCUAAUAUUUCAGGAACAUUAGUUUGAUGUGUAUCGUUUGAAAUUGCCACCAAGCAGUUUUGAUUAUCCUUUCUCCUCCACACUAGAUUUGAAGUUGGUAAAGAUAAGGAACGAGAAAGUUUUGACAACCUACUUACCUCUUUUACAAGAUAAGCAAUCUUGUGCUGAAUUCUUACCUGUCCCUCCUUGGUGGGUUUUUGACUUACUGAAAUCUGUUGAAGCAGUUUGCAUUUUGGUCGGAUGUGUCCAAGAGUUCCACAAUAGUGACACGUAGGUAUGAAUCUCCAAGGUGUUUGAGAGGUUGAACUACCAGUAGAAAGUGAUGGUUUGACAAACUUUGUGACGGAUACAGCGGAAGGCUUGUUUACUGAAUCAAAACCUAAGCCACGUUUGUCUCCAUCUCUUCGACCCAUGCUCAUCAUUUUGUCAAUCUUUUCUGCACCAAUUGUCAAAGCAAUAAUCCUUUCCUUUGAACUUUUAAGCUCAAUUUCAAGAACUUUUUGUUAGAGGUCAAAGAAUCAAUCAAUUUAUUUUGAUCAAUGCAUUUUUUUUGUAGUAUUUUCAAUUUUUCAUACAUACCUUCACCAAGUGAUUCUAGUUCAGCAGCAGAGGAUUGUAAUGUCCUGGCAAUCCUACUGUUUUCGAGCUCCAGCACAGCAAUCUUUUUGGCAAGCUCUUUGUUCUGUUGAUUAAGUUUCUGAGAGGCAGCUAGAAGAUCGUCAUACUUUUCCAGCACAUAACCAAUAUUUGGUUCUUCAUCAUUCCCAUUGUUUUGCUGUGCCUUAUCCAAACUGACAGUGGUGAUUAAUGCAAUGGUAUUUUCUUCACUUUCUGAUUCUAAAUCACUAUCACUCCAGGUUAUAUUCAGUGCUUUGGCUUUGCCAUUUUGCUUCUUUUGUGUGUUGGCACAUUCAGAGGAUAUAUGUCCAUAUCCUUCGCAUUCAUAGCACUUGACUCUCUCUUUAGUGGUUUUCUUCUCAGUGAACCUGCGAGAUUUUACAUUACCAUCAGCAUAAUCACCAUGUUUAACUUUUGAAUUUAUACCUGAGUGAUUUCUUAAAUCAUAACUUCUGGAAUUUUGAUAUUUGAAAAACUUCUUGAAUUGUCGUGAGAGAUAAGCAAAUUCCUCCCUAUUGAAUUCUUCAGAUUGGUGUUCACCAUCUUCUUUAUCAACUACUUUAAGAGCAACGCUUUUAUUCUUCUUAGGAGCUAGAUGCUUCAUCUCAUAGGUUUGAAGCGACCCUAUGAGUUCACGAACUUUCAUAGUAUUCAGGUCACGAAUCUCUUCAAUGGCUGUGAUCUUUGGUGAAAAAAGUUGAGGCAAGGACCUUAAAAUCUUUUUCACCACCCUAUCUUCUGGAAUUUUUUCACCUAAACUUGAACAUGCAUUCACAAUAACGCAAAGUUUGGCAUAAAAUUCAGAAAAGGUUUCAUUCUCAUCCAUCAUGAUUGUCUCAAACUGUAGAGUGUGCAUUUGAAGCUUGGCUCCCUUAACAGUAUCUGUUCCUUCAUGGGUGACCUGCAAAAUAUCCCAAGCUUCCUUAGAAGUAUCGCAACUAGAUAUAUAUUCAAAUUGAUCGGAAGAGACAACAGCAAAUAUAGCAUUUAACCCCUUUUGAUUAUUGGUACUGUGUGUGGCUUCUGCAGUGGUCCACUCCUCUCUAGAUUUGAGAACUGUGGUUUCUUCAUCUCCUUUUUCGAUCUUCUUUGUGGGAUCAGAAAAUCCAUGAAACACUGUAUACCAUACACGUUCAUCUAAGGACCAAUGAAAGGACUUCAUUUUAGCCUUCCAAGCACCAUAGUUGUGGCCAUCGAAGUAUGGUGGGUGUGCAACAGAACCAGCGGCACGAUCCAUCCUAAGGUAUGUUAGAUCUAGCUGAGUAUGUCCAGCAACCUGCUCUGAUGCCAAUUGAGAAUACCUGUAGGAUAUCUAUAAAUGCCUGGAGAAGGUUAAACAGGCUAAUUCGAAUUUUUGCAAUAAAUAAUGAUCAACCUUUGAAGCAGGAUUGAUAUGAGUUAUCAAUCCUGAGAUGUGCAAAGCUUAAAAUAAAAGAACACGCAGAUAUUUAUUUUACGUGGUAAAACCCCACCUCUGGGGAAAAUCCACGGGACUCCUUAGUCCAGAACGAAUCCACUAUAGAAUUGAGAUUACAAGAAAUACGCACACACACUUGUCCUAGACUCAAUCUAGACAAUGUUUACCGAUUUCUUCGUAACUCAGCUUCUGUCACGGGAUGAUCUUUGACACUCCUUUUGUUGAAUGCAAUACUGGUCACGAUUGCUUCAAGCUCACCGGAGGAUAAACACACAAAGUGUCUUGGUGUCCUUAACCAUAUGAGACACCGACAUGCAUAUGUAUGCAAUAUGAAUGAUGAAUGAAUUCGAUCAAUCACCAAGCAACCAAAGCACUUGAUGACUUUCCGAAUAAACUAAGUGCAUCAGCUUUUCCCAAAAUAUAUUCAAUAUGCAUCAAUGGUUUUGGACGUUGGAAAAGCUCACACUUACAAGAAGGCAAAGCCUCCUUUUAUUCACAGCAAGUUUCUCACAGGAGAGAAACUUGCGAGACUGCACUUCCAAAACAAUUAUAACUCUAAGACCAAUUGAACUAAAACUCUUUGAACCUGGUGCAAUAUGAUCUCCUCAAUGAGACACCACACAAGGGCCAAACACUUAUCAAAUUAACAAUAUAAAUUCUGAUUCAAUAAAAAUACAAAGUCUAAUUCAUUAAGGACUCUUAAUGAUGUCACCAACCGACUCAAAUUUUAACUUCAAUUACAAAGACCCAAAACAAAACUUCAACUAUAACUCCUAUCAUGAAUGCAUGAUAUGUCAUGAUUUACCUGUUGUCAAGUUUCUCAUAUGGUCAGGGUAUGCCUCGGAGGUAUGGGAUUGAAAGAGUAGUGCCAAAACUUCUAGUAGCAAUUCCUCACAAACUAAUUUUCAUCCUAUACUACAGUCUAGGAAAUGCCAAUACGAUUUUCGUACUAACACUCUUCAAACAACACCAAGCCUCUACAAGUUUUGGCUAAGGUAAGAACACCCUUAAGGCCAUGGCAAGCAUUGGCCAUUAUACUAAAUUUGGGUUUGAGGACCAUUACCAAGCACCAACAACAGCAGCCCAACCCAAAUUUAAAAAUCUCACCUUAAAGUUGCAAACUUUAAUAUGAGAAAUAAACAAAAUGAUUUUGAUGGAUUUUGAUUUUGAUUUUGAUUUUUUUUUUUUUUUUGUGGGAGAUGUCAUGUUGUUUCGGGUGUGAAGGACUGGCUCUCUCAAAAUGAUAAGAGGGAGGGUUGGAUUUGGGGCUGCAAGUCUGUGAUUAUUCGAAGAGAGAAAAAGUUAUAAAAAAAAAAUAAUAUGUUGAAUGGAGUGAAGUAAACAUUAAAGUCAAUAUAUCAAAUAAGGGUAAAUAUGGAAAACAAAAAGUAGGUUGUUCGAUAUAUUAAUGACAUUGUUUUAAAUGUAAAAUAACAUAUGUCAUAAAAAAAAAGAAAAAAUAUCGAGAGAAGGUUGCUAGCAUUACCUAUAAAAAAAAAUGGGAAAUAGCUUAAAAUGCCACCUUUUUUAUAAUUUUAACUGAAAAUACUACCCCUUCCCAAUUUUUUUUAUAACUACCACAUAUAAAUACAUCUUUAUUGUGAAAUGAUUGUACCCAUAUCAGUUUUUCAGAAAUUGGGUUCUCUCUCAACUCUCUUGGCUCUAUCUCUCUCUUCGGCCUUUCUCUCUCCCUUGUGUAACUCUCUCUCUCUCUCCGACGCAAUCGUCUUUCUCCCUCAGCGGUGGCUAUUCAUCCAAGCUUAACUCCACGGUUCACAUCCACGAUGUAUUGUUCAUCUUCCUUUUCUUUGAAAUUUGGGGUUUUUGUGAAUUUGGUUUAUGGUGUAUGGAUUUGUAAGAAAUUGAUUUAAGGGUUUCUUCGAAAUUGGUUUUGGGUUUUAGGGUUUAGGGGUUGCUCAGAAACUGGUUUAGGGUUUAUGGGUUUCUUUGAAAUUGGUUUAGGGGUUUCUCUAGGGUUGAGGGUUUAUGGGUUUCCAUGAACUGGGUAAUAACUCACACCCACUCUCACUCGCUCGCAGACACUCUUCACAAAAAUCGAACUCUUCAUUUUGUCACAGAACAUUUGGGCUUUGUUCACCUUUGUCUGGGUAAGUCCCAACUAUAUAUAUUUUUUGAUGAGAUUUUAAGCUCUGGGCUCUGUGAUUUCUACAAGAAUUAAUUCCACAAUAUUCUUAUUUAACUAUUCAAAUCAAAGCAAAGGAAGGAACGUUGUUUAUGGAUGGGUAAUUGUCAAAAACGACUUCUGGAAUCUACAUGUUUAUAAUCAAAUUCUGCAUAUGGAUUUAUGGGAUGGUUUCGGGUUCCCUGUAAUCUUUUGACAAUGUUUUGUUUAUGGCAUUUUUAAAUGGGCUUGAUUUUUGGUUUGGUAGAAUGCAUUUGAUUGUGGUUUGGGUGAUACAGUGGUGGAGAUGCAGAUGGAGGUGUGGGUACUUUGUCUCUGUUAAAAGGAAAUUGCAGGUUUAUGGUUUGGUUUAAACAAUUGUGUGACUGUGUGUUCGCUUUAGAUGUCCGUAUCGUGAUGCAAAGGAGACUGUGUUUCUAGGUUUAAAUUCAGUGUUUCUAUGUACAUAAUUGGGUGAUUUCUUAAUAUUUCUAUUAGGUUAUUUCAGUUUGUUUUCUGUUUGAUUUGGAGAGCUGCACUUGGCAUAAUUGUUUUCUUUAAACUUGGUUGAUUUAGGUUUGGCCAGAAGGUGCUGGCAAUGGCUACAGCGACAUAUCCACCACCACCACCGUAUUAUAAUCUCUACAAAGAUUACUUGCAAGAUCCCAAAUUAGCUCCGGAGCCGCCCCCUCCGAUUUAAGGGACAUGCAUUUGUUAUGGUGGCAAUUACACUAUGAGCUUUUCUCAUUCUUUGCAUUCUUCCUGUCAAAAUUUAUAUAAACUGUGUAAUUUGAUUUCUGAAAAUUGCUUUUGUCACUAAUGACUAGAUGCUAGAAGUUUUUGUGAAAAGUAAAGUUUGUUGAAUUUACAGUUUGAAGAAUGCCAUCUCUCCUUUAUAGCAGUUGCUUUAGCUAGGAAUGUCAUAUAUGUACCUUUAAAGUUGUUGGCUUUGAAUGUUGAGUUUGGAAAAUAUGUGUAAUUCUAUAAUCUACUGUGUUGAUGUUAUCAAUGUAUGAUUUCUUUGUUUUCCUUGUAAUCUCUUCUUAAUUAGUUUUAUCUUAUUUUAUAUAGACUGAAGACAUUCUUCCGAGCUUGGAAGAUCAGGGAGUGCGUCAAUUGUAUCCAAAAGGCCCAAACAUUAGUAUGCCUCCCUCCGUUCUAGUUUUAAUUAUUUGUAUUGUCAUGUGAAAUUACUGCUCUUGAAAUUUAGGAAUUAAUGUGAACUUUUUCUUGCUUCAAGCAUUGUUGCAAUCAUCAUUUAUUGCAGUUUCUUCUUAGCAUUGGUUGAAUUAUCUUAUUAUUAUUUAUCAUUUUUAUAAACUAGUUAACUAUAAUUUUCUUUGGAAAGAUGUUAGCAAAAGAGAGAUUUUCUUUGCUAAGUUAGAACACGGUUACUAGACUGAGAAAUGUUCUCUUGGUUACAGUUAUCUACAACUUUCUUGGUUACAGUUACUCCACAUUUCUGAUUGAUUGCCAUAGUUUUCUAGGCUAUGGCAUAUAUCCAAUCCAUACUAAAAAAUGUUGUCAUGCAUGAUAAAUCCGACAUUACGACUAAAAUAUGAUCCCUUAAUGAGCCUUCUUUAGUGCAAUACAAAUGUCCUCUCUAGAAAGAAGAAGAGUGAUAGGGGGUAUGUAUCAUCUGGUUUGCAGAGCAUGAUUUUAUUGAUAAUAACUAACAAGAAACAAAUAAGAACUGCCUGUGCACAUGCGUGUAUGCCUGUUUAUUCUAGUGUCUUCUUUACAUAUAUAUAUAUAUUUUUUGUGCAUAUGCAUGUGUUUGUUUUUCGCCUCUAAAAUGUUUUAUGCUUCUCUGACAAAAAUUGUGAUCCUUCUUAGAUUUUAAGAAGGAACUGAGGUCACUUAACAGAGAAUUGCAGCUGCACAUUUUGGAGCUGGCUGAUAUUCUUGUAGAGAGACCAUCACAGUACGCGAGGAGAGUGGAAGAUAUAUCUCUUAUCUUCAAGAACUUGCAUCAUCUUCUCAACUCAUUGCGUCCCCAUCAAGUAAGAUAGUUUUGGGUCUUAGAAUGCAUUGUAUUGGUUUGUGUUUUGAGGUACUUUAUUUUGUAAUGUAUUUUAUCAAACAGGCUAGGGCAACAUUAAUUCACAUUCUAGAACUUUAGAUACAACGUCGUAAACUAGCUGUGGAGGAUAUAAAGAGGUAUGCUUUCAACAAUUACUGGAAAUAUUUGUGGUCUGAGGCUGAAAUGUUUUUCUUUGUUUUCCAAAACAGUUGAAAGAAAAUUUCUUUGUCCUUCGUUCAUUUAAAUGAAUGACUUAUAUAGCAUUUUAUUUAGAGUAAAAGUACUUGAAUCUACUAGGCUAUUCUUUUGGUGCAUUGUAGAAGUUGUUGUAGAAAACUCCCCUGUUCUUGUAUGUGAGGCAUCGAAAUGUUGAUUUUUAGUUUCUUUCAACCUUGAAUUAUGAGGUUAAAAGUAAACUGCGGUGUGUGCAUGGUCAGUGUAAGAGUUUGAAGAUGCAUAUAAAUUCCUUAAAUCUACUGGUACUGUGACUGUGUAAUCAAUCUGCCAUGUGGAUUGGAUGUUACAUAAUUGCUUGUGACUAUUUGCUUCACUUUCUUGUUUAGGAGGAGAGAAGAAGCACGGAGACUUCUCAAGGAGUCUAUUGGAACGUUGGAGGACACCGACGCAUCUUUUGUGCUAAAGUAAGGGCGUAUGCUCAUGUUCGUUCUGCCGCCGAUUGAAGCCUCUUGGACAGUUGCAUCUCAAUACCUUCAUCAUGCUUCAUGUAUUAGAAAAAUUAUAGGUUUAAUUGUCAUUGUAAUCAGAGUAAAAGCAAUUUGAUAGCGUGCAUGAUAGUGUUCUCUCUUGCUCUGCUGCUAUGAAAUUCUUAUUUACCGAUUGGCAAAGAAGAAAACAUAGUUUCGACAAAGUCAAUAGAUCAUUACAAGAACCUUAGAAUACACUAGCGGAACUAGGACAAAGGCUACAGUGGGCUGUAGCCUAGGGAGGUUUUGGGGUUAAACAAAAAUCAAACCUAUAUAUUUGCCUCAUUUGAAAUGCAGAGCAAUAGGCUCUUUAAACACACAAUUUUUCAAAGCAAAAUGUGCGUUUAGAUAUAAAAAAAUGCUCUUUUGAAUACAAUAGUAGGGUAAUAUGCUCUUUGAACACAAUGAUAUAAUAAUAGGCUCUUGAUAAGUGUUGAGUUUGUUUUGUUUUAUUUUGUUUUUUAAAUAUGUGAGCUUAAUUAUGAAUUUGAAUGCAAUAAUUUUGAAUAAUUGAUUUAUAAUAGAAAAACAACAUGCAUACAUUCUGAACAACGACUCUUUGAUCAUAGGAUAUUGGUAUUGCUAGCAGCUAGUUAUUAGUAUUUGUGUUCAAGAAGACCCCAUUGUGAGCACAACUUUGACAGAGUGGUUAUAUAGAUAAGAGGUGCUAAGAAAUUAGAUAUUUUGAUUUGUUCAAUUACAUUGCACCAUCUUAUUAUAGUUACAGCUAACCUUAACUGGCUUAUUGAACAAUUGUAACUGAUAAAAGAGUUAUAACCCGCACUAUUUAUUUGGAUAUGACAAUUUUCUAACUGGCUUUGAGCCGUUGAAUUAGUAGGUCAGUUGUAAAUAGCUGGGGUUUUGUUUAUGCUCUGUAUUUUUUGUUUAUUUUUCGCUUAAUAUCCUAUAAUAGGUUGUUGAUAAGUGUUGAUUGUUUAUUGCUUUUUAUUGUCUAGAUUGCAACGAACUCAAAUUAUUUUUAUAAUAUUGGCGUGCAUGGAAAUAUGGUUUCUCCAAUUAAGUUGAUGAUUACAGAGGAAGAAAAGUUCCAGGAAAAAGCAUUGUCCCUAUAUACUUCAGACAAGUUCCUACAUAUGACUGAACCUUCCUACCAUUUCUGCAGCAUAGGCACCUUCUUAACGGGAAAUGUAACACCCCGACCCCAAAUUUCCCCAAAUUUUACCCUCAUUUAAUUAUUUAAUUAUUUAAGGGUAUUUUAGUCAUAUUUUUAACCGGAGAGAGUUUGGGACCGUGACUUAUAUUUUUAGAUAGGUCGUACUGAGACGAGUUCAUAGACACGUAGUGGGCUCGAAUCGGAGUUGUAACGAGAGAGAUAUGGUCAAAAGAAGUCCAGUGGCACAAUCGUAAAUAUUUCGAAAUGGGAUUUUUUUAUAAAAAACCUGGUUUUCUCUCUCUCUCUCUCUCUCUCCCCCCCCCGCGGGUCUCUCUCUCUCCUCUCCCUCGCGCGCGACAGCCGGCCACGUUUUGGCCGGCCGUGCUCUCCUCCGGCCACCAAUGGCGACGGGACCGGUACCAAAAUGACCGGGCCGUCGUCCUCUUCCUACCCCAGCCAUCCCCCGCCUCCAGCCGCCGUGGUUUCGCCGGAAUUUGGAGAAGAAGCGGCCGACGUCGCCGAAUUUUCAAAGCCGUCGAUCUCCCUCCUCCGGCCACCAAUUUCGUCGAUCCAGGUAUGGAUUUUGAACCUCUCAAGCUGCUCUAGCUGAUGGUUGGGUAGGAUUAGAUCGAUUCUUAGCGUAGAUCACUCGAUUUUCGAAUUGAAAAUCGGCCGAAACUUCGGCCGCCGUGAUCGGCCACUUCCGGCCAGUUUUUGGGGUAGGUCCAAGAACAAAAGUGACUCCAAAUGAGGUGUUUUACCUAGGAUAGGAGUUUGGAGUCUUGGUUCCGAGAUUUUUCGACGAACCAUAAUCGCUUUGGACACCCGAUCUGCCCGCGCGUGUGGCAGCGCGUGGGCGAGGGUGGUGGAGUGACUCUGGGCCGUUUUGAGAUCCUCGUGCCGUCACGAGCGCGUAGGAUUUCGCGGAUCUCAAUUCGGACGUCGUUUGACUAUCGAACGGAGAAUCGCAUAUUGCGCGUUAUCCGGGUUCGAUAGGUUGGGACCGUUGGAUGGUCCCGAAUUUAAUAUAUAUGAAUCUAGGAAUUUCUAUGAUCGUGUAGGAAUUCACGGAUUUUGAAUCGGAGCCCCGGAUGUUCCGAAUAAUAAUUUAAAGUUUAUAUUUUAUAUUAACUGUCAGAUCGUGCGAUCGUGAGAAAUCCGACCGUCCGAUCUGAACCAAACUUGCAGGACAAGUGUCCUAUACCUGGUAGAACCCAUAGAGACUUUCAGAUCAGAAAUUGGAGGUCGUGGGUUCUGCAGGUCCGGUUGACCAGGGUUAGAAUAGUUUGACCCUCGGUUGACCGAGAGUCUCCCGGAGUAAUCUCACCCUUCCAGGGGGAAUUAUCGGGAGCUAGACUAUUGUGGAGGGUUACACAAUAUUAGAAUUAUUUAUAUAAAUUAUGUGGUUGUACAAGGGUACAACAAAGUCUAGAUUGUCAGUUUGGAGUGCUAUACGCACUACUUUAGGUACCUCCUCGGAUGUUGGAUCCACUACAAGUACCACCAAGUGAAAGUAGGUCCCACGUGGCGUAGGUUAUCCGGCGUUGGGACAGACCCCAUACGUGGCGUUGGUUGUACCGGCGUAUGGGGAGCUAUGUAAUAUUAUGUUGAGGUCGCACGUGGCGUAGGUUAUCCGGCGUGUCGACAGACCCCAUACGUGGCGUUGGUUGUACCGGCGUAUGGGGAACUUUGCGAUAUAAUAUUGAGGUCCCACGUGGCGUAGGUUAUCCGGCGUUGGGACAGGCCUCAUACGUGGCGUUGGUUGUACCGGCGUAUGGGGAGUUAUGUGAUAUGAUGUGCAGGUCUCACGUGGCGUAGGUUAUCCGGCGUUGAGACAGACCCCAUACGUGGCGUUGGUUGUACCGGCGUAUGGGGAGAUUAUAUGAAAUGAAAUAAGGUAUCGCCCAAGUGGGGAAUUGAGUUUUAGGGAAGAACUACGUGUGGCUUGAUCCCUCAAGGAGGGUACGUAGGCAGCCUAAGGUUAGGUGCAGCCGCAGACUAAAUGUUAGUCAUUUUUGGUAUUGGAAUGGUUUGGUAGUUGGAUAGGAAUUAUUGAAAGGCCGAAGGCCAUUUGUGUGAAUUGCAUGAAAUUAUAUUGUGCAUGCUGCCAGUUGGGAAUAUUAAAUGUGUUUUUAUGCAGGUUGAAAUUUUGGGAAAUGUCCAAUCUAUAGGGGAGACUCUGCCGAAAUUUCGGCAGGAAGUCUCAGUUUUUAGUAAGCGGGCCUGACAUCGGGGUGAUGUCAGGAAUUCCAAAGGGUUCGUCUCGGGUUUUUGAGAAAAUUCGGGGCGGGUCCUUAAAGGAAAGGUAAUUAUUCUUCAUGUUAUUGUUGUUUAAAAGUGUUGAAAACGUCAAACUGGAUACUAAAUGUACCUUUAUUUGUUUUUAUGUAGUCUGCAGUUCUGAAUUGUCCCCACUGAUACUUAAAGAUGUCGGAUGUACCCCCUCCAAACGAGCAUGUCAGUUACCCGGGAGACCAGCUGUGGCAUGUGCUGUUCCCAUCUCCACCUCUGACUCCCAAUCAUGAUCCCACUUCAUCUGGAAGUGAGGCUGAGAGCAAUGAUCCACUUAACAAAAUCUCUGCCAUCAAGCACGACCUCCGAUAUUUGUCUAAGGCAACAGAUUGGUGGGAGAGCAAAUGUGAUAUUCAUGGCCAAGUUAUGGGAAACUUGGCCAACAAGUUGAACAAAGCAUUGCUGGAGAAGUGAAGCAAACUCUAAAAGCAAUAAGUCAGAGCAAAGAGUUAGAGUCCCUCAAGUUAAAAUUGGAAAAGACAAAGAAAUAUGUUGUCGAAAAAUUCACAAAAUCUGAAGAAUAUAACCAUGACAUGGUUGAAUGUUUCAACAACGGCUUCGAAAUAUUCCAAGAUUAUGCUUCGGUCAUCGCACCAGACUACAAUUGGAGUGAAAUUGAUGAAGAUGGUGUCUGGCAGGUGCUGAAUAUAGGUGGAGAGGGAAUGGCUCAUCAUAGCCUCGUGCAUGCAGCGAGGAGGAAGGGCAAAGACAUAGAUCUUUUGACGGACCUCUAGUAAGGGUGAGUGCUGAUUCAGUUCAUGCGAUGCUGGGUGAUGCGAUGUCAAAGUGUUGCCUUCCUUUUCCCUUCGCGGGAUAGUAUUGUUAGGGUUUGGUGGCGAUUUAUUUUGCAUGUUUAAAUUGUAGUCUGUAAUGGAUGUGUGUGUAUUGUAUGUAGAUUGACUUAAUUUGCUCUCAUAUUGCAUGUGUAUUGUACUACUAUUGCCUUUGUAUUGCAUAGAUAUUGUAUGCAUAUUGCCACCCUAGUGCAUGUAUAUUGUGCUACUAUUGUUGUUGUAUUGCUGUUAUAUAACUCUAAUAUUGCCUCUCUAGUGCAUGUAUGUUGGCCACAUAUUGCCAUUAUAUUGUAUGUAUAUUGAGUACGGCUUAUCAAUGGGUUUACGGUUUAGGUCCUACUUCAUUCAAAAAGAAGACGAUGACGAGAACGAAACAACGUGCCUUUCAAAAACAGGCAAUUAGAUGCAUAAUAAUUGCACCGUAAGACAUUGUAAGAAAUUAUUUUUAAAAAUAAUAACUAAAAAUAAUGUACACAAAAAGGAAGGUAUGAAUAAAUAUGCAAAUGCUUCGUGAUGGGUUGAAGAAAAGGAUGAUUACAUUUGGUGGUUUGAUUAUGUUUGGUGAUACGAUAUGUUCUUCAUCUUAAUCUUCUUCAUAUAUGUACUUGUUGUAUUACUAAUUCACACAAAUUCAUCUCGUAAUCAUCCAACUAUUAAAGCUAAGUAAAUGAAAUGAAACAAAAGAAGAAGCCCAAAAUAAACAGAAACAGCAAUUUCUAGCACCCUUUUAUCGCCUCUCUAUUACUACUGUAUCACCAACCUAUCACCAGUUUAUUGCGUUUUAGGCAUAAACAAAUUAUGCACUUCCUCUGUUUUUCAUUUUUGACAUAUGUCCAUUGUUUGACCUCCAUUUUCCUGUAAGGAAAACAAAGAACACAUGAAUUUAAUUUGCAAUGAUAGCUUUCCAAUAAACCUUUUGACAAAAAAAAGUAAACAGCAGAGCUUCUCCGAGCAAGCGAAGGCAGGAUUGGGUUGAUGACCAUUAGUUCAAACAUUAUGUGAUCUAAUAGGGAUAACUAAUUUUGGGAACAAGUAAUGAAUCUUCAAAACGAUAAAGAACAACUAGUAAACUAAUUUAUACAUUUUAACUUUGCACGGGUCACAGCGCUGAACAUGAUAUUUGGUAACCAUCUCUAUACUUAGGGGUUACAGUGCUCAACAUGAUAUUUGGUAACCAUCUCUAUACUUUACAGUUAUGAAAUUGACAUGUACAUUUCUUUUCCAAAAACCAAAGGUUUUUAAAAAUUCCACAAAGUUUAUGUAUAAUACUUGACUGUAUGCAAACUCAAAGAAUUCGAUUAAUGUAUGAAUAACAAAUAAUUCUUCAUAUAUGCAAAAGUCAACCACAUGACUCGAAAUUAGAAAUUCUCACCGCACACAAAUCCACCAUUACUACAUACAAAUAAACAUCCACAAUUCCAUAAGGCAAAAGGCAAGUUCUAAGGGAUACACAAGGAAAGAAAGAAAAAAAAUAUUUCCAAGAACAGCCAAUGAGAAAUAAUGUUACAGACCAAAAGCAAACAAGGCAAAGUUAAACCACCCUUCUUAAGACAAAAAGCACCAGACAAUUUCUAUUUAUUGAAUCAGCUCACAAAAAAUGGUCGAUGUGUAUCACUUCAGGUCUCUCUUUGUCUAGAUCAAUUCAUUAAUUUGCCAUUGCACUUCUGAUAUCUAGGAAAAUCCAUUGGCUCAAAAGACACCAUCAGCUUCAACUCUGAAAUUAUGCAUGGUUCACUACACAAGUUGUUUUGACCUCCAAACAUGGAAAAAUUUCUCAAGCCUGCAAGUACGCAUAUAACAUCUCAAGAAUGGAAUGAUAAACAAACUUUGCGAAAAAUAAAAUAAAAUACUACAUGUAAAAAAAAAAAACAAAAAGAUAAUUAAACUGAACACAAUAACUUACAGCAACAUUUAGUAAUCUAAUUCAUGGAUACAAAGAAAACAUUGACUUGAUUUGCUUUCUCUUAUGAGCUUUAGUAUUAUUAAACUGCAGCAUCCUAUCAAGUGCAUACAAGAAUCGGAAGAUAUUUUCUGAAACCCUAUAUUUUUAGAAUAAAUAAAGAGAAAACAACAUCAGCAAAAUUGUUAAAACAUUAGUCAAAUUGUUGAGAAUAUAAAAUCUCACAUCCACUAUUCUAAGCCUUGCAUUUCAAUAUAUAAAAUUAUGAACCUCUUCAGCCAUUAUCACCAUAGUACUAGACUUCACUGACAAAUAAUACAUAACAAAUGGAUAUCGCAACAAGUGGAUGUCUCAUCAAAUAGACUUUGUAGCUAAAGGAAUAAUUUAUUACAUGAUACAUAUGCAAUAAACAAAGGAGCUGGAAAUUAAAUGAAACCAGGAUGGGCAAAUCUAUUUCUUCAAUCACAGAAGCAUUUAAUGGGUAAAUUGAACAAACAACAUAUAGGUUCAUGGGCUGAGGUAGAAUUUCUUCAUUCAUCGUUAGCCACCUUAGUCCUUAAGAAGAAGAAAUACAUUAAUCCCUAACCCUCCUCUUCCUCAAAUUUCUUUCCUUCCAUGCCUUGAAUUCUAUCCCUAUUCAUGCACCCAUGACAUGAUCAGUCAAAGAGCAGUAUCAACAAGCUACAAAAACAAGUCUCCUCAUUACCCAUUCGAACCAUGCUCAAAUGACACCCAAAAACAGAGUGAUGUUAAAACAAUUCCUUCUGAGCCACAAAACAUGACGAAGAAGUAACCAGGCUAGAUCACGGGCAAAAAGUACUUCAUAAUGAGAGCAGCAGAGUCACUGCUCUGUCGAAGAACUCUGUACUAGAAAACCAUCAUAUGAUGACAGUCAAAGUGAGGAUUUGCAAGGUUUGUCAUGUCAUGCAAUAAUACCAGUCCAUCGAACACAUCUACCUAGUGAAUAAAAAAAAAAUACAUUCCAACCUUAAAUAUGAAUGGAAUUGAUUUCGUUUAGAUUUGAAACUCUGCACCAUCUUACAAAGUAAACAACCUAUAUUUUCACAUAAGAGGACUAGUAAACAUCUAACAAAAUUUAAGACCCUGUUGCACCACAUAUGCACUUGUUUAUUUGAAUUGAACCUAGAAAGAAACCUCACCCAUAAUUUUUUAGCAACACCUAUAAUACCCAAUUAACACACAAAUCAAUACCACAAAUCAAUCUGUCGAAGAAAAUCAUGAAGAAAGUGCACACACAGCCCAAUUGUAUAGUGCCAUCUGCUCUGCACUCCUUUUCAUCAAUUCAUGAUUUUGUGCAACGAAAUGCAAAGAAGUAAGAACCCCUUGAACAUCAUCCAUGGCUCGCAUUUGAAGUUUUUUAUUCCAUUUGAAAUACCCAUUUAUUUACUUUAACACUAACCAAAAUCAUAGAUAUGAAACCAAUCUCAAAACCAUAUCAGAUGACCCAAAACAAAAACCCAUCACCCAAUCCUUAGCUAGCAGGAAUAAAAUACCAAUUUAUUUACUUUAAUACUAACCAAAAUCAUAGAUAUGAAACCAAUCUCAAAACCAUAUCAAAUGACCCAAAAUAAAAACUCAUCACCCAAUCCUUACCUAAAAUCACAAUCACAAUAAAGAAAAACAAAUUAGGGUAAUCUGAAGCCUAGAUUAGAUAUCUCAUCAAUUCCAAACCCUAGACUCUAGAGAAACUCCUAAACCAAUUUCAUACCAACCCAUAAACCAUAAACCAAUUUCAGAGCAACCUCUAAACCCUAAAACCCUAAACCAAUUUGGAAGAAACCCCUAAACCAAUUUCAUACAAAUCCAUACACCAUAAAACAAAUUCACAAAAACCCCAAAUUUCUAAGAAAAGGAAGAUGAACAGUACCUCGUGGAUGUGAACCGUGGAGUUAAUCUUGGAUGGCUGAGGGAGAAAGAUGAUUGCGUCGGAGAGAGAGAGAGAGAGAGUUACACGACAGAGAGAGCUGAGCGACAGAGAGAGACGGGCUGAAGAGAGAGACAGAGCCAAGAGAGUUGAGAGAGAACCCAAUUUCUGAAAAAGUUAUAUGGGUGCAAUCAGUUUACAAUAAAGAUGUAUUUAUAGGUGGUAGUUUUAAAAAUUUUGGGGAAGGGUGGUAUUUUGACAAAAAAUUAUAAAAUAUGUGAUAUUUUGAGCUAUUUCCCAAAAAAAAUUGAAUUAUUCUAAACCUAUAUCGAAGAAUCGGUAUGUUUCUUAUGCCUCCAUGGCCACAUGUGUCCCUUCAGUACUGUAAACCUCAUCUCAAUGCAACCCAAAACUCCUUGAUACCCUCCAUGCAUUUAAUUUGUGACACAUCAUCACAACCAAAAUCAUGAUACUUCUUCAAUAAAGAAAUAUUAGUGUAAAAUAAAAAUAAAAUUCUCUAUGCAUCGAAUUUGUGCCACCUCACUAUAACUACAAAAAUCUUGAUAGUUCUAACUCAAGUUUUCUUCUGGGAGAUCAUCUAAGUCAAGGUGCAUGGACAUUCUUUUUAUUAUCUGAAUAUUCCCAUUAAAUGAAUUAAAAAGUUUUUUUCAUAUAUAGGAAAAAGCGAUAAUUAUAUUUAUAAAUUAGACACAAAAACCAUUAGCCACAAAGACAAAUACAAAUAGCCACAAAGUGGUAAUAUAAAUGUGAAAGCAUGUAGUAACUAAAAAGAGUUAAUCCAGAUAUAGGCCACAUAAGGUUAGAAAAACUUCAGCAUAAAAGCUGCAAGCAAGACAUGAAUUGCAUCGUUCAAAUCUAAUACGGCUACAACUUUUAAACUCUCAUCAGUACGAAAAAAACAAGUUGAGGCUAGAACAAUCAAGCCAAAUGAGAAAAAAAAAACGCAACAAAAAGCCAACAUAGCCACUGUUACCGCUUCUGUCUCUGCCACCAUAAUCGUCGUUGCCACUUUAAAGAUUGAGAACACCACCAAGAUUGCAGUCACCAACCAAAAACAGAUCUAACCACCAAAAUCACAUAUCCAACACACAUAUGGGUAACCUGAAAAGAAACAAACAAUAUGUAAUUCACUUAAUAACUUUAUAAAAUGCAUUAAAACAUCACUUAAAUAUCACUCGUCUUACAUUUUUUCAUUAAAAAAUAUCAGUUAACUUUACAUAAUCAAAAUUUCACCAUAAUUUUUUCAAUGGAUAACAUAGCUAAGUCAUUCAAUCUUUCUUGUGGCAUAGUUUACUAUGGAUACCAAAUCUCAUUUGUUGUGGCUUAACCCAUAUGCCACAACCAAAAGACAUGGGAUGAUCGAGCUUCCCUCCCACUAGAGAAGUGCGGAGCGAGGGAGAUGCAAAUCACUCAUCUGAUCCCACUUCCAUGAAGUGGGGGACGGGAUGUGCAAGGCUAGGAAAGCAUGGCCAAACCCAAGAAUUCGAAAGGCUAUAACAACCCGGCUAGACCUCCAGCCAAAGAGGGACAAAAAUUGAAUUAAACACUAAGAGUACGCUGCGCAAAUACAGACUUGAACGUCGGAGUGACUUUUCCAGGUACUCACCCCUCUUCCAUCGUUCGACCUCGGGAAUAAAGUCCGGAGUUCUCUUUCGACCAAGGAAGCGUGCGGACUUCAGUCAAGAACCUGUGGAGGUAUUUCUUCUUGAAAGAAAUCCUGCUCCAACAGUUGGCGUCGUCUGUGGGAAUCUCGCAAAGUUGAUCAUAAAUAUGACUGAACCUGCACAGGGAACUCCAAACACUUCCAUCCCGGGGAAUGCGACGUCCACUCCUCGACCUGGAAGCGGUUCAACUCCCAGGAUGGGGAACCAAGCCUUACUGUUAUCCAAUUGAGGGAACUCAUGAAAGAGCUGCGUGAAACGAGAAAGGUAGUAGAGAAAGCUCUGGAGAAGGCGCAGAACACUGCUCGCCAUGAGGGCCCAAAAGAAGGCAAGAGAAAGCAGAGACAUGAGAUCUUUCAGGGAGACUCCUCUAGCAGCACACACUCGAGCGUCCGGGACAAGGCCACGGCAGAAGAUCAAGACAAAGAUCGCGACCUGCAUGAAAUGGCGAAGAGGGCGAAGAACACUGAUUUGUGCAAUCAGAUCGAGAAGAUUGUCAGAGGGUACAAGCCGCAAACACCCGCGGAACUAGCUUUGGAGGCGGCGAAAGGAAUUUGCAAGUCGCCAUUAACGGAAGACAUCCUGAAAGCCAAGAAGCUAGUUAAGUUCCCCCAACCUAAGUUUAAGUUGUUCGAGGGCAUUACCGAUCUCAUUGAGCAUAUCUACCAUUUCCAACAACAAAUGGUGCUCGAAGGAGAUGACGAGGCCCUAUUAUUUGAGUUGUUCCCCUUAAGCUUGUCAGGAUCGGCCCUGAUCUGGUUUAGACAGCUGAAACCAAGGUCUAUUGGCGGUUUCACCCAACUCUGUGAAAUGUUCAUAUCUCAGUACAUUUGCAAUCAAAAGAGGAGAAAAGAUGUCACAAUCCUAUUUAGCACAAAGCAAAGUACUGAAGAAAGCCUUAAAGACUACUUGAGGCGUUUUACGAAGGAAAUGUCUACUCUUGAGGAGUGCGAUUCUCAUACUGCUUCAUUGGUAUUUCGUGAGGGAGUCAUACCUGGAACAAAGAUGCACAGGUCUCUAGUGAAGACCCCACUAGUGGAUAUGAGGGAAGUAAUGGCCCGGGCGGAUGGAAUCAUCAUACUAGAAGAAGAAGAGCUCACCCAGCCAAAACGAGCCACUUCCACCAUUGCGAUCCCAAAGCCUCCAUCGGAGCAAAAGGUGAAGACGAAGCGAUAUUCCUUAAGACAAGGGCCUAGCAACGAACCUAGGCAAAGCCGACUCUUCACCAGGCUCACGGUGAGUUUAGACAAAAAAUUUCACGAGAACAAGGGCAAAGGUAUAUUUCGAACGCCGCCUGCGAUCCGUGAAUCCCCAGAAAAGCGAGAUAGGAACAAGAUGUGCGCCCAUCAUAACGACUUUAGACAUACUACUGAUGAGUGCCGAAGUCUCAGGUACCAGGUGGAGGCAAUGCUGAGAAAGGGAAUGUUAUCCCAGUACCGCGCUGAACCUGAGAAUAGGGCAAAUGAAGAGGGUGGGUCAAAAACAAUGACAGACAAUAUCGCAAAUGAAGAACUGCUGGAGAUCAACACCAUCCACGGUCGACCGAAUCCCGUGAAAGGAAAAUAGGCUCGAUUCUGGUUCGAAAAAAGACGAGCCGAAAAGGUGAGACGCAUAAACGGGAUGGCAUUUGCCUCUGAAUCUGCCAAAGCCUUAAAGAAGAUUAGAGUCAUCUCAUUCACGUAGAAAGAUAUGGAGGAAAUUGAGUUCCCUCACAAUGACGCAUUAGUGGUAACCCUCCGCGUUGCCAAUUUGAUGGUAAAAAGAGUGAUGAUUGAUGGGGGAAGUAGCGCAGACGUGUUAUUCUGGAGCACCUUCAAAAGAAUGAAGCUGGAUGAAAAGGAGAUUCAGCCAAACCCAACACCAAUCCACGCGUUUGAAGGGACAAAAGCUCAACCGAUCGGAGACGUGACUCUGCCGGUUAUUGCCGCAGGUAAGACCCUAUUUGUUACUUUCGUAGUUGUAGACGCGCCGAACUCGUAUAAUGCUAUAAUGGGAAGAAACUGGAUUCAUCAAAUGGAUGGAGAAGCAUCAACACGUUGCUAGGUGAUGAGGUGCAUGUCCGAAGAUGGGAGAACCACAGUCGAUAUCAAGGGGGAUCAAGUGGAGGCCAGACGAUGCUACAACAUAGCAACUAACCUUAAGGCUGCAACUCCGCAACAGGGCGAGGAUUUAUAGCAAUUAAUGGAAGACCCACUAGAACAAGAGAAGGAGGAUAACUCAGAGCUUCCGAUGAUCAAACCACUCAAGGAAGAAGUUAUGGAUCCCUCUUACCCUGAUAGAAAAGUGUUGGUGGGCUUCCUCCUAUCUAAAGAUGAGGUAGACCAACUAAUGGAGUUAUUAAGAGAGAAUAAGGACGUGUUCGCGUGGUCACAUAAAGAUAUGUCUGGGAUCAACCUGGAGAUCGCGUGUCUUUGGCUGAACGCUAAUCCAAACCACCCCCCGUAUCAACAGAAGUAGAGGAGGUUCGCACCUCAGCGAAACCAAAUUAUUAGCGAUGAAGUGGACCGAUUACUCGAGGCAGGAUUCAUUCGAGAAGUAUGGUGUCCGACCUGGGUCUCGAAUGUCGUGGUAGUAAGUAAAAAGGAUGGGAGAUGGCGUGUGUGCGUAGACUACAUUAACCUGAAUAAGGCGUGCCCAAAAGACUGUUAUUCGAUACCAAAGAUCAAUCAAAUGGUAGAUGCCACCGCCAGGUAUGAACUUCUCUCAUUCCUCAACGACUAUUUGGGGUAUAAUCAAAUCCCAACGGCAAUUGAGGACCAGGAAAAGACGGCAUUUGUCACCGAGCGAGGCUUGUAUUGUUACACAGUGAUGCCAUUCUGGCUGAAGAACGCAGGGUCGACAUAUCAAAGAUUAGUGAACAAGAUGUUCAAAAGCCAGAUCGGCAAAACAAUGGAGGUUUAUAUCGACGACAUGGUCGUCAAGAGCCAGGAAAAUUCCAACAUAUCAAGCACCUGGAAGAAGUCUUUAACAUACUGAGGAGGUAUCGCAUGCGACUUAACCCAAAGAAGUGCACAUUCGGUGUUUCAUCGGGGCAAUUCUUGGGGCAAAUAGUGAACAAGGAGGCAUCGAGCCCAAUCCAUCGAAGGUGGAGGCGCUGCGGGAUAUGCCUGAUCCAAGAACACCUAGAGAUGUGCAGAUUCUGACUGGGUGAAUAGCGGCUCUCAGCCGAUUCAUUUCAAGAUCGUCGGAUCGUUGUAAGCCAUUCUUCCAGGCAAUUCGAAAUAAGGACAGAAGCCUAUGGGGGCUGGAACAAAGAGAAGCCUUUGAGCAGCUGAAGAAGUACCUCGCCAGUCCCUUGACCCUGACUAUUCCAAAGCAAAGUGAACCUUUGUACCUAUACAUGGCUGUCAUUAAAAUUGCUGUAAGUGCUGUACUGUUAAGGGAGGAAAAUUCAAUCCAGCAACUUAUAUUUUAUGUGAGCAAGAGCUUAAUUGAGGCCGAGAAAAGAUAUACACUGGCUGAGAAACUCGUUUUAGCUUUAGUGACAGCCAAGCGGAAACUUCGCCAAUACUUCGAGGCAUACACGAUCAUAGUAUUAACGACCCAACCAAUCAGAGCGGUCAUGUCAAAGCCUGACCUCUCAGGAAGAGUUACAAAGUAGGCCAUCGAGCUCAGAGCAUUCGACAUUAGAUAUCAACCUCGGACAGCCCAGAAGGGUCAGGUAAUUGCCGAUUUCUUAGUAGAAUGCUAUCCACCUGACAAACAACAGGAAAAUCACGAUGAAGUCAAGGAAGCAACAAACAUGGACAAGGCCCAAUGGGAAUUGUAUGUACACAGAUCAUCUAAUCAUGCAGGAGCCGGAGUAGGAAUCGUCCUCUCGUCGCUUGAAGGAGUGGACCUGAAGUAUUAUGUCCGAUUAGACUUCCCCGCUUCAAACAACGUGGUGGAAUACGAAGCCCUAGUGUUAGGACUCCAACUAGCAAGGACACUGAAGGUGGGACGCUUAGUUAUCCAUAUCGACUCUCGCCUCAUAGUCGGCCAGAUAACUGAUGAAUACGAGACUAAGGAUGAACGAAUGGGGGCAUAUCAACGGUUGGCAAAGGAUUUAGCCAGCAAGUUCAAAAAAAUAGAGUUCGAACGGAUACCAAGAGAAAUGAACGUUCAGACAGAUCGCUUGGCCCACGCUGCAUCAACAUCGGUAGAGGACAUGAGGGUCUCCCUAGUGGAACUCUUAUCGAGCCCCAGUAUACCAACUGGCCUUGGAGUUAUGCAGAUUGAUGCCGAAGAAGAAACGUGGAUGACUCCAAUCAUGAACUAUCUCACAAAGGGAACCCAACCCAAUGACUCGAUCGAGGCAAGGAAAUUACGAAUAAGGCUGCAAGGUAUGCCAUUAUAGAUGACACACUUUUUCGUAAGUCUUUUUCGGGGCCAUAUCUCAGAUGUCUCGAUCCACGUGAAGUCGAAUGGAUGCUAAAAGAAAUACACCAAGGGACAUGUGGGAACCACAUGGGUGGGAGGAGCUUAGCCCACAAAGCGCUGACCCAUGGAUAUUUUUGGCCUUACAUGGCCCGCGAUGCAAAAUAAUUUUCACGAAAAUGCGACAAAUGUCAAAGGCAUGCACCCCUUAUUAGACAACCAGCCGAGGAACUUAACCCUGUUGUAGGGCCUUGGCCAUUCGCCCGCUGGGGGAUGGACAUCGUGGGACCACUUCCCACCGCAGUUGGGGGCAAGAAGUUCGUCCUUUUGGCCACUGACUACUUCACCAAAUGGGUGGAGGCCGAGGCUUACAAGACAGUGACCCAAACAGAUGUGGUAAGAUUCGUAUGGCGGAAUAUAAUUUGUCAUUUUGGGAUACCAAUGGCCAUCUUGAAGGACAACGAAAUUUAGUUCGAUAACCGUAAAUUCAGAAGUUAUUGUGAGGAAAAAGGGAUCAUUCAACAGUUUUCGUCCCAGAGUUAUCCUCAAGGAAACAGACAAGCCGAGAAAACUAAUCGUACGAUCUUCGAUUGCUUGAAGAGAAGGCUUGAACAACGCAAAGGCAAAUGGUCGAAGGAACUGCCAAAUGUAUUAUGGGCAUACCGUACUACCAAACUGAAACUAACCGGCGAAAGCCCUUUUUCCUUGGCAUAUGGAACUGAAGCCGUCAUCCCCACAGAAAUUAGAUUACCCACAGUCAGGACGUUGGUGAUAGAGAGUAAUGAUAAUGAACAACAACUAGCUCAUAACCUUGACAUGCUUGAAGAACAGCGAGAAGCUGCAGCAUUACGACUUGCCAACUACCAGAACCAGGCAGCCAAUUACUUCAACAAACGAGUACGACAUAGGAAAUUCAAAAUAGGCGAGUGUACUCAGAAAGGUCAUGGAGAAUACUAAGGAUCUAAACGCAGGAAAAUUCAGACGGACAUGGGAAGGACCGUACGAGGUAACAAAGGUUUAUGGAAAAGGGGCCUAUAUGUUGAGGCAUAUCGAGAGCGGUCAAUCUGUACCGCGCCCUUAGAACCCAAUUCAUCUGAGGAAGUAUUUCAUUUGAGUUUUUUCAUUUCUUUCUGUCAUUUGCGAUUUUUCCCUAAAUUGUCCAUCGUUCGAUGAACGCUUAAUGGAACAUGUAUUUUCUUUACAUUCGAAUUGUUUAGUCGAAGGCCACGUCUGUUUAAAUUAGCAUUAUUCGAACGCACGUGGUCGAAGACCUUGUGAAUAAGAAAAUGAAUAUACUACUCCAUGGGCAUAUAAGGUGCAUGGCCAAAAAGCAAAAAGUACGAUUGAAGAUCGCAAUUAAGACGUUGCUGAAGAUCACGCAUGAAGAAGAGGUUGAAGAUCGCGCACAAGGACGCGAUUGGAAAUUGCGCAUAAAGAAGUGAUCGGAGAUUACGACAUGAUCGGGGACCAUGACAUGGUUAGAGAUCAAGCAACAUGAAUAAGAAUGCAGAUAUGACAGGGUCGAAGACCUCAUGAUUAAACAUAACACUAGCAUUAGGCCAUUAUGGCCAUAAAAGGAAAAAACAUGAAAUGUUUUUUGGAGGAAGGCCUCCGAAUUAUUCAAAGCUGGAGAAUACAUAAAACUACCGAUUCUACAGGUACAACCCACAAGUAGCACAAGCUAGUCUGACGGCAAGGGGAGACGAUCCCAAUCCACGUAGGGAUAAACCAUUUGGGCCUUGGUACGGAAGUGGUGGAUACCCUGUCUAAAUUCGUCUCGUAUGCCAUCAGAAUGGGCGGUGGACACGGCGCGAUCUGCAUCAGCAAGAUCACUCUGGAGACGAGUCACUUGGGCACCAACACAUGCCAGAUUCUCCUUGAGUAGGUCGCGUUCCAUCAGCAACAUGUUAUGGUCAAAGUGGCAGGAGUAGCGAGGAACACGAGAUGGACUGGCUUCAUCUCGCGCCCUUGGGGUACUCCUUCUCAUCGUAGCCUUCCCUCCACGUCUGGCAUCACCAGACCGAGACCUAGACCCACGAAGUGAAUCGAGGACUCCCUCUUUGACAGAGGUUAAGCCCUCCUCCUCGGAGAAUCUCCUUUCUUUGGAAUAUCUGUGCAAAUGCGGAAGUAGAGUUUUAGCUUGCAUCUAUGAGCCAUGAGUGGGAUAGGUAUGUACACCUAAAAAUCGAAUUAACCUUUAUAUAGAAGUUCACUUAGAGAUGUAGCUUACGAAGGAACGCCUGGUAAGGGCGUAAUGCGGAGGUGAUAGGAUAUCCAAUCCUUGCUUUUUGAAUUUGAAAAUGGCAAUUUAUCCUGAGAGGAUCUUGGUCAAGUUUUUAUAUUAUAAAAAUAAAAAUAAAAUAAAAUAAAAACCUUAAGCCUCAGGUACUUACAUCAAAGUUAAAAUUCAAAUUAACUGGAUAACUUAUAAAGUUUGAUAAAGUGAGCUAGGAAGUCUGGGAACGAACCCAAGAUAACCAAGUACAUCAAAACAAAAACAAAGCUAAAAGGAAAAUACAAUAAGUAAUGAACGAAGCAAAAGCAACCUAGGGCGCAUCAUCAAAUGGGUCAGGAGUGGCCUCCGAGGUAGGCCCAGCACAAGUGGAAAAUUCAGCAGGUGAAGUAAAGCCCGAAAAUCCAAGGACGGGCCCCGUACUAGCAAUAGACGAUGCAACAUUAGCGUUAGGGACAACGGUCCCAACUGACCUAGAAUGGGUUGGCCCAUGAAGGGCUGCCGGUGGGAUCCUGCAAUGAGGGAUGUAACCCGAACAUCAGGAUGCAUACCUUGAAAGAGUUCGUAGCCAGCAGGGUCAAAUUCCAACUCAUCAUCAUAGUCAUCUGGGCCCGCCACAAACCUGUGCUCAGAGGGUUGUUGGCCUUGAACCCAAUCGUAUCGGAAUUGCCUGGCCAUCUCAACCCUGAUCUGCUUGGUGUUGGCCUGAUACUCCUCGUCCCUAUUACGUGUGGCAUCCAUCAGUUCUUUUUAAGGCGGUCAACCUCCAUCCGUACAAUGCUUUGCCGCUUCUCAGGUUUCGUAGUUCGUCCCGUUGCUGUUCAAGCUCAGUCUCACAUUCCUUAAUACGAUUCCCGCUAAGUUCGAAGGUUGCCGUUUUUUCGCAUAUCUCACGGUUCAAAGCCUGAAACCUCACCAUUUGCGCGUUGCGAAGACCAACCAUCUACGAGAAGUUAAAAGUGUGCAUUAAACAAGCAACUAUUAUAAGGCAUGGCAAUUGGAUGAUACCAGCACAAAUCCCAAACGUACCACAUUCAAGCACUGUGAUUGGUAGCCCCACAUCUGUUCAUCAGUCAUGGUCAUGAAAUCAUUCUCACCUAGUGAGCUAGAGGAAGUGGGGGCAUGAGGGACUUGCUAAGGCCGGGAUGGAGUACUCGAAGCAGAUACAUUAGGUGAGCCCAAACCCAAGAUGACCUGUGAAGCAUGGCGAGAUUUCUUCGCAGACCCGGAGAGCUCGGGCUCUUUUCUUGGUCUCCUUUCGCUACGACCCGGGACCGACAAUGAGCGUGGCGUUGACAUAUCUGACUAAACAAACUCAGACCCGAAUACGCAGUCCUAGGAGCUGCUGUGUUGAGCUAACUCAACCUCCCUUUCUUGAAAGCUGGCCUGGAUACGAGACUCUGAAUCUUCAGUGCAACAACGGUCAACGUCGACGGAGCAAAUGUCUUUGAACAAGUUUAUUCCACGCAAGCUUGGAUUAGCUAAACUGAAUGGGAGGUAAGUCGCCGAACGAUGAGCAAUGGAGAGACGGAUGAGAGUAGCAGGGUCAAGAAAGCGUGUGAUAUCCCACCCUCGACCAGCUAAGUUCUCCUCCAACCAAGUGAUCCGGUCCUCAGAAAGGAGACACCUUUUGUCCGACGGAAGUACUGCAAAAAGGAGGUUAGUUAGACCUGCAAAAACACAAUAAGCUGUAUUUCAAAGACAUAAAUAUGUAUGCCAGGUUUUCGGCCAAACUCCAACGGGAUAGGCAUGUUAGACAUCUCAGGUGCCGCCUACUCCCCAGUGAUUAAGAGAGGUUGGUUUUUCCAGUACUUGGUGGAAAUGGGCUUACAAGUAAAUACCUUUUUACCAGACCCGGACGUAAAAAAGAAGUAGUGACUUUCCCCCCUAACACAAGCCAAGUCGUAAAGGUAAAUGAAAUCCUUAAAACUAAGGGACACACCCCAUUUCAAACCGACGGCUAGAAACCCAGAUAUGAGAAUGUAAGAAUUCGGAUUUAGCUGCAUGGGGUGAAGGCCUAGGAAGAACAAGAGCAUAUGAAAAAGGGGGUAGAGUGGAAACCUAACAUACUCUAAAUGGGCCGGCGAGAGAAUUAAGGAACUCCGAGGGAUAUGGCACCGGUGUACAUAUCUAACCCCAAAGGCAGAGGAUCGAUCCCCACGUCAUCGGGAACACAUCCUUUAGUGCGAGCCUUAAGUAUCUCAUAGUUCGGUGGGACACUACCGGACUUGGGCCAAAUCUCGUGGUUCAACAUGAAAAUAGCAAAGAUGAAAAUAUUACUUACUAGGUAGUGGCAAGAACAAGAACCCUUUGGCGGAGUUCUCAAACGUUUAUAUGUGAAGAACAAAAGCAAAGUGUAUACGGUUUUAUAGGUGAGUGCAUCUUUAUCAAUCAGCCUUUUUAUAAUAGGGGAAGAAUUGGGAAAAUAAUUCACAGAAGUCACGGGAAGAGGUUUUUCAAAAGCAAAGAUAAGGUUCGCACAGACGGCUCGGAUAUUUGCCUUAGGCUUUGGCAACAAAGCCUGGCUUGACAUGACCAAUCAGAAUUAUUUUUACCCAGAGCAUGCGCUUCUUCACAUAAAGCUGCAUGCGCUUCGACAAAAGACAAGUGAGAGCAACAGAUGUAAGCAAUAAGUGAUGCAAAGUAGUAAGUACACCUACAGAGCAAGGUUUGUUCACCCCCUCAUGCAAAAACUAGAUCGUGGACCGCUUGGGAGUCGGCAAAAAAAAAAAAAAAAAAAGUCUGUGAAUACCUCGGGUCGAUUGAGAAACCUAAGGCCCACGGGUGAGGAAGGACAGCUAAGGAGUUUUUGGGGCCCGUAGGGACAGCUCAAGCAUGCAAAAAAAAAAUCAUCAUGAACACCUUGGGUCGGUUGAGAAACCGGAGGUGCACGGGUCCAGAAGGAUAGCUAAAGGGUUUUUAGGCCUGCGCUGACGGCUCAAACGCAAGAAAAAAAAGUGCGUGAACACCUUUGGUCGGUCGAGAAACCGAAGGUGCAUGGUUCUGGAAGGACAGCUAAGGGGUUCUGGGCUCGCGCGAACGACUCAAACGCAAAAGAAAAAGAGAAGAAGAAAACCAAAAAAAAAAAAAGUGCGUGGACACCUUAGAUCAAUUGAAGAACCAAAGGCGCAUGGGUUUGGAAGGUGAGCUCAUGAAUAUUGGAAUCCAUUUGAGAUCAGCUAGCAAAGAGCAUGGGGCCCACCGGAUUAGCAAAAACUCAAAGUCAAGGGGAUGGGAUCGGCCAGGAGAGAGAAACUAAGAGACAUAACACCUGAGGAUGGGAUCAGCCAGGAGAGAGAAACCAAGAAUUAUGGGACCCACCGUUGGCAAACACUCAAAGCCAAGGGGAUGGGAUCGGCCAGGAGAGAGAAACUAAAGCACAUGACACCUGGGAUGGGAUCAGCCAGGAGAGAGAAACCAAGAAUUAUGGGACCCACCGAAUUGGCAAAAACUCAAAGCCAAGGGGAUGGGAUCUGCCAGGAGAGAGAAACUAAAGCACAUGAUAUCUGGGGAUGGGAUCAGCUAGGAGAGAGAAACUAAAGCACAUGACACCUAGGGAUGGGAUUAGCCAGGAGAGAGAAACCAAGAAGUAUGGGACCCACCGCGUUGGUAACAGCUCAAAACCAAGCGCACCACAAUUGGGGUCGGUCAGCCAAGAGGAAAAUGCCCAGGGCCCCACCAGAUCAGCAAAGGCGCAGAAAUCCAAAAUAAAUAAAAGGGCCCACUUGCACAUGGAUCGACUGUCCGCACUUGGAUAUACCACAUAGGGGUAACAGUUCAUAGUUGGAACUUGAAAAGUUAGCAACGUGCAUGAAAGUCCACAUUUGAAUAUUUCACAUGCAAGGUGCGAAGGCAACAUGCAUGGGUUGGUGAUAAGCCAAUAGGAAUCAUGUUUUUGGGCUUGACCAGCAAGCCCAAGGGAAAAGGUAUGGCCUAUUUAGGCUCAGCCAUGAGCCCAUCCGGAUGACAUGUGCUCAACCAAAAGAAACCCUGUUCCAAAAUCCCACUUAGAUCAUUUUUCCCUCUCCACUGCGAAGAGUGUAGAGAGGAAAAAAGGGGGGUACUGUGGGGACCAAAUCUCAUUUGUCGUGGCUUAACCCAUAUGCCACAACCAAAAGAAGUGGGAUGAUCGAGCUUCCCUCCCACUAGAGAAGUGUGGAGCGAGGGAGACGCAAAUCACUCAUCUGAUCCCACUACAACUCAUCUGAUCUCACUGCCAUGAAGUGGGGGACGGGAUGCGCAAGGCUAGGAAAGCAUGGCCAAACCCAAGAACUCGAAACGCUAUAAAAACCCGACUAGACCUCCAGCCAAAGGGGGACAAAAAUUGAGUUAAAUACUAAAAGUACGCUGCGCAAAUACUGACUUGAGCAUCGGAGUGAUUUUUGCAGGUACUCACCCCUCUUCCAUCGUUCGACCUCGGGAAUAAAGUCUGGUGAGUUCUCUUUUGACCAAGGAAGCGUGCGGACUUCAGUCAAGAACCUGUUGAGGUAUUUCUUCUUGAAAGAAAUCCUGCUCCAACAUUUACCGAAAGUAAGAUUUGAUUAACUUCAACUUUAAAAAGCUUCUCUCUACAGAGGCAACUGUGACCGGUAUAGUUAACAAAAUUUUGUAAGCAAUCCAUGCAUUUGGGAAACAACUAUAUGCUACUAUAACAACUCGCUCAUGCCUGUAUUUUAUUUAUUUAGGCUAACUUUUCUUUUCUGCUGCCAUUCAACUAGGUUAAUUGACUUAAGCUAUAAGUAUAAAUAAUAAUUGGUCCUUUAUUGAGUUUCCACUUUUGAAGUGAAAAAAAAAAAUGCAAGAUUCUUGUGAUACACGCACACUUUGAUAAAAUUGGGUGAUAUUAAAUUGGUCAUUCAUAAAGAAAAUUCCCAAUCCCACUUAAAUAAGGAAUUGUGCAAGCCCUAUUAAAACCCAAUUAAAUAAAGAGAAGAACUCCCAAUUAAAACCCAAUUACAGAAGGAAUUAUAGAAGCCAUUUUAAAAGCCCACGAAAUGGCCUAGCAGUUUCCUUUUUUUGUUUUUUUAAAACCAUGGUCCAAAACAACGUCGUUUUGGUGGCCAGUCGUAUUUAUAUUGUUUUCCACUUGUCUGUAGGGAUGGCAAAAAUCCCCACGGGGACGGGUCCCCAACCCUAACGGGGGGGAGAUUUCGGGACCAAAUGGAUAUCGGGUACGAGGAUCCCCGAACUUGAAAAAUCCCCGACAGGUAUGGGGAGGGGAUGGUAUUGGAGUUCCUAUCCCCGAACCCAACCCGAAAAUAUAUAUGUUUAUUUUUAAAUAAAUAAAUACAUAAUUAUAAUAUUUAUAUUUAACUUUACGUUAACCUCCCUCUCCUAAUACUUCCUGAUCUUCUUUGGAAUUUCAUAUUGAAGUGAUUUUGAAUAGUUGGGUUGAACUUUAUAGUUAAUUUGGAUGUGUUGGAUGAUAAAUUAAUAUGAAACUUAAUGUUAAAAUGUAUGAUAAAAAAAAAAUUUAUGCAAAAAAAAUCGGGGAUUCGGGGAUGGUAUGGGGGAUAGUCUCCCGACGGGGACGGGGACGGGGACGGGAAUUCCCCGAAACCUAUUAAACGGGGAUGGGUUCAGAGACGAGGGCAGGAAUGGAGAGUGGGGACAAGGAUGGUAUUGUCAUACCCAGCGCUUACCCAACCUGUUGCCAACGUUUUCGGAGAAUGUUUUCUUAGAAUAUUUUCAAAGAAUGAAAACAAGAAAACGAAUUCGCAUUUUCAGGAAAUAAAAAUGUGUCUAGUAAAUUAAUUAGAAAAACAUCUUCAGAAAAUAAAAACAAUAAAAACAUGUCUGGUAGUACAAUUUGAAAUAAUAAUAUGUAAGUUAUUUUUAUGAAAACGUUUCUCAUGAGAAUGAAAAUAACUUUUUUCUGUUUGUUACAAGUACACAUGAACUUGUUUUCAUUUUAUGAAAACAUUCUCAGUGUUUUCUGUUUUUGGGCCACCGAACGUGUUUUUGCCUCAUUUUUGUUCUCUGAAAAUGAAAACAACCCCUUAAAACGUUACUGAACGGGACCUUAAUUUCUAAUUUCUUAACACCUUCUGGAGUGUUAAAGUCAUAGCAAACUAUAUGUUUGUGCACACUACUAGAAAACCAUGGUAUAAACGACAAUUUUGUGUUAUCUGGCCAAUUCGUGACCAAUACUCUUUAAUCACAUGUUAUAUGUGGUCAACAUAAAUAUAGACCACAUGUAAUCUAUGAUUAAUAAGUCCGUUUUCUAAUAGUGUGCGUUUUGGUAAGUUUGUUUGAGGCUUUUUGAACAGAAAGAGAACUGCACAAUAUUCAUAUCAUGAUGGGAAAUUACUCAGCAUAACUUUAUACAAAAAUUAUCUACUUUGGCAUCACCAUUUAACUUUUCAGAAUAGCUUGAAGCAAUAAUGAUACACUCCCUAAAAUAAAAUGAAGGGCAGAACAUCAAAAUUUAGGUUUCUUACUAAAAUUUGAACAUCAAAAGGUGUUUCUUAAGGUCUGUCGUCAUCAUUGGAGCUGGAAUUUAUGGAAGCACUUCCACCAAUAUUGUCUGAGUGAAGCUUCCAGGUUUCUCUUCUUCAAACAGUUUUUUGUCAUCGCUCACACCUGUCACCAACAAAGGAAUAAAAAAAUUGGAUUAUUCUCAGCCUAUAUCGAAGCAUCGGUAUGUUUCUUAUGUCGAUGCAACCCAAAACUCUUUGAUACCCUCCUCCAUGCAUUUAAUUUGUGACACAUCAUCACUACCAAAAUCAUGAUACUUCUUUAAUGAAGAAAUAUUGUUAUAAAAUAAAAAUAAAAAUCUCUAUGCAUUGAAUUUGUGCCACCUCAGUAUAACUACAAAAAUCUUGAUACUUCUAACUCAAGUUUUCUUCUGGGAGAUCAUCUAAGUCAAGGUAAGAGGACAUUCUUUUUAUUAUCUGAAUAUUCCCAUUAAAUGAAUUAAAAAGUUUAUAUAUAGGGAAAAACGAUAAUUAUAUUCAUAAAUUAGACACAAAAAUCAUUAGUCACAAAGACAAAUAUAAAUACCUACAAAGGAGUAAUAUAAAUGUGAAAGCAUGUAGUAACCACAAAGGGUUAAUCUAGAUAUAGGCCACAUAAGGCCAGAAAAACUUUAGCAUAAAAACUCCAAGCUAUACAUGAAUCGCAUCAUUCAAAUCUACCAAUACAGCUACAACUUUUAAACUCUCAUCAAUACCAAAAAAAACAAGUUGAGGCUAGAACAAUCAAGCCAAAUGAGAAAAAAAAAAAAAAAAAAACAGCAACACAAAGCCAACAUAGCCACUAUUACCGCUUCUAUCUCCGCCACCACAAUCGUCGUUGCCACUUUGAAGACUGAGAACACCACCAAGAUUGCAACCAAGAGCUAAAAACAUAUCUAACCACCAAAAUCACAUAUCCAAGCACACAUAUGGGUAACCUAAAAAGAAACAAACAAUAUGUAAUUCACUUAACAACUUUAUAAAAUGCAUCAAAACAUCACAUAAAUAUCACUUGUCUUACAUUUUUCGAUGCAAAAAUAUCAGUUAAUUUUACAUAAUCAAGUUUUUACUAUGUCUUUUUCAAUAGAUAACAUAGCUAAGUCAUUCAAUCUUUCUUGUGACAUAAUUGACCGAAUGUAAGAUUUGAUCAACUUCAACUUUGAAAAGCUUCUCUCUACAAAGGCAACUGUGACCGGUAUAGUUAACAAAAUUGUGUAAGCAAUCCAUGCAUUUGGGAAACAACUAUCUGCUAUAGCAACUCGCUCAUCCCUGUAUUUUAUUUCUUUAGGCUAACUUUUCUUUACUGCUUAUAGCUUAAAUAAUAAUUGUUUGGUUUCCACUUUUUGGUUUUGGAGUGAAUAAUUGGGGUUUUUUUUUCAAACAAUACUUGGGCCUAACAUAAUAUCCUAAUAUUAAUAUAGUACAAUUUUUUUUAAAAGUAAAUAAACUAAAUAAUAGGUAAAUUUUAUUUUUCUAAAAUCUGUUUUGUGGUCUUUUUGGUGGUUUUCUCAUUGUUCUUGUGUUUACCUUUUUGUUGCAUUUAAUUUGUAUUUAUUUUAUAUUAAAUUUAUUAAAAAUUAGUUUAUAAAGUUAUUAUGAACUAGCAUAAUUUACAUAAUUUAAUGUGUAUUUUUAUUUCUAAAAAUAUAUAUAAAUUGUAAGUUGAAACUUCUUCUGUAUCGUAUAAGUAUUUUUCAUAAAACUUUUUUCCUCUUGACUCUGGAAACUUAACUACGUAUGCAUGCACUGUCACGAAGACUCCACGCGUUUCUUCCAACUUCUAUAUCAUGCACUAUGCACUAUGCACUAUGCACUAUGCACGCACCAUGUGUGUGUAUGUAUAUAGCUAGCCAUAAAUAACCUACCUAUCAACCUAUAAUCGAGCAACCUCAAGCAAAGACUCAAAGAAAAAAAUGGUUUACUCUGAGCGAAGAACCCUUACUAUUCUUAUGCUUCCAUGGCUAGCUCACGGCCACAUAUCUCCCUUCCUAGAGCUUGCCAAGAAGCUUACCUCUAAGAGAAAUUUCCACAUCUUUAUUUGUUCCACACCUGUAAAUCUCACCUCCAUCAAGCCAAAACUCUCUCCAAAAUACUCUCAUUGCAUUGAAUUUGUGGAACUUCAUCUUCCGCAUGAUGAUUUGCCUGAACUCCCACCUCAGUACCACACCACCAAUGGCCUCCCUCCCCAUCUCAUGUCCACUCUCAAAAG
RNAcentral lists this long non-coding RNA (60545 nucleotides) under Prunus persica (peach). RNAcentral describes it as "long non-coding RNA (PPER_LNC002426)". Lineage: Eukaryota; Viridiplantae; Streptophyta; Magnoliopsida; Rosales; Rosaceae. The record is from RNAcentral.